Molecule: long non-coding RNA, 72119 nt
Filed under: Gossypium barbadense (sea-island cotton)
Lineage: Eukaryota; Viridiplantae; Streptophyta; Magnoliopsida; Malvales; Malvaceae
Description: long non-coding RNA (GBAR_LNC016096)
Rfam family: MIR7502 microRNA precursor family (bases 42205-42349)
Source: RNAcentral
CCCCCAAAAGAACUUGAGAUAAGAUAAAUUGGGCUUGAUCUGAACUUUUGGGCCCUUAAUGUAGAAGGCCCAAACCUUCAAAUGCUGUUGAAUUGGACUUUCUUAGGAUCCUUUGCAUUACAGAUCACAAUCUAGGAGUUGGGCUUUAUGGAUGCACUGAUUGGCAUCCACCUCAUGAAUUCACCAUCGAUCAUCUCAAAGUUACUAGUAAGGACUCUCCCUUUUUGCAAACUAAGUGGCUUGAAAGUGCUGAGACAGUAAUUUGUCGUAUGAAACUAACAUUGAAACAAACCAAUUGAGAAAUGGAAAGUUCCCCAAUACCCAUAGUAGAAGAGAGCCAGUUCCCCCAUAACAGGAUAAUAGAAUUCAGAAAACUUCAGCUCCUGCAGGAUUUGGCUGUAGAUUAAGGCACAAGGUGAAGAAAAAUUACCCCUCCCACAGGAUUGGAUAUUGAAAAGAAAAGCCUCAUACAAUGCACUUAGUCAUUUCAACCCAUAGCGCAUUUGACUGAUCUAUUGUUCACUGGAUGGCGGCUUGGCAAGCGGGUAGCUCAAAAUGUUUCGAGAAAACAAGAUUCCGAGGAGUGUGUCAAGCCUACUAGGGAUGAGGGAAGUGUCUAGAAGGUUGGAGAAACAUGUGGAUUGCAAGGGCUGUCUGGUGUAAUAUUAGCCGUAAGAUGCUUAAGGAGUUACCCAUAAAUAGGGACCCUUCAUUUGUAACCUGCAAGAGCUUAGCAAAGCAUAGCAUGAGAACAACUAAAAGUGUGCUGUUGUACCCUUGAUGUAAUAUUUGGUUGAGCAAUAAAACAGCAAAGCAUUCUCCCAUGUGGUGCAAGGGCCAAGCCAAAGACCGCAAGUCUCGGCAUGGCAAGACAUAUGACUAUCAUCCCAUGAAAGCUGGCUUCAUAGGAAUAAGUGGAUUAUCAUGUUCCCGAAUAAGAUUCAUGGAUAAUUUCGGAUACCGAACGGCAACUUGGCAAGGUUUAUUCUGAUAGAUUGAGGGUCAUUGAUGGUUUAUUUUUUCAAUGAUUAUUUAGGGGAAUUUGAUUAUGGUGUUUGUUAUCAUCCUACCACACACAAAACCAGCUUCUUUCUUGUUUGUCAAUUAUUUAUUUUUGUACAUUUUCAAAAUCAUAAAACAUUUCUACAAAAUUAUCAAGUCUAUUCGAAAGUAAGGCCAAGCCAGAAAUAUGUAAUUAGAAUAAUUAACAACAAAACUUGCAUACCAAAUCAAAAGGCUUCAUCUUGAAUUGUAAUGUCAGCUUCAGCAAGUUCACUCAUCACCUCAGCCUGAAACAACUCAACAGCUUCUUGAACCGUUGUUUGAUUCCAAAAUGCACCAAGAAGCAUACUCCAUUCUCCCUCUUUUGGAGUACAUCCAUCAAUCAGCAUUUCAUCAACAAUACGAGCAGCUUUGUGUAGGUCUCCAUCCUUAAAGAAAGAUUUCAUAAGAAUCUCGAAAGUCGCAAUCUCAACAGAGAUGGCCCUAGUUCUCAUGCUUAGAUACAACUUGAAAGCUCGACUUAAAUCACUCUUGGUGCAAAGGCCUUGGACCACCAUAUUAUGAAUCCUAACAUGAAGACUCCAAGUUAAUCGGUUUGGCAAGAUUCUGUCUAAAACCAUCUCAUCAAGGAAAUGUGCUGCCUCCUCAAACUUGUUGACAUCACAGAAUCCGCUUAUGAUUUUCCCGUACAAUCCUGCAUCUGGUUGCAGACCCUGAAGUUUCAUCCUGUCAAGAAUCUCCACAGUUUGUUGAAGCCUUCCCUCUUUACAUAGUCCAUGAAUUAAGCUACUAUAAGUUAUCAUGUUUGGUUUACAACGUUUGCUAACCAUUGUCUCCAGUAGUUCCAUCGCUUUGGAAGAACGACUAUCCUUGCAGAGACCAUCCAUUAAAGAACUAUAAGUAAACACAUUUGGCUCCAUACCAUUGUUUUUCAUUUCCUCAAGCAAAUCCAAAGCUUCAUUUAUAUUAUUUGACUGACAUAACCCAUGUAUCAAGGAUGAAUAUGUAAUAACAGAAGGAGAACAAUCUCUCAUUUUCAUCUCUUCAAAUAAAACCUUUGCAUCCAUUAACUUUCCGAAUUUACACAACCCAUUAAUCAAAGUUCCGUAAGUAUAAGAAUCUGGAGGACACCCACGAUUGGGCAUUUCACGAAAUAUAUGAAUAGCAGAAUCCAAGGUUCCACUAUUCUUACAGAGUGCUUUAAUCAAAAUAUUCAGGGUGACAACACUAGUUUGAACACCUACUUCUCUCAUAUUCCUGUAAAACCUAAAAGCGAGCUUUAACAGGUUCUCAUCAACCAGAAUAUCAAACAUAGUAAUAUAAGAUCUUUUACUGGGUUCACAUUGGAAGUCCUUCAUCUUACCAAAGACCCUCAUGGCAUCUAAUGGUCUAUGAACCCUUCCAUACCCUCUACAAAUAGAAAGGAAGAUAUCUUCUCUUACAUCACACUUUUCUUCUUUCAUUCUAUCAAGAAGAUCUUCAGCUGGUCCAAAUUUGUUUGCAGAAACUAAUCUAUUUAUUAUAACACCAAAAGUGCUGUGAUCAUGACGAAAACCAUUGGCAUACUCAGCUGUUGCCAAAUCAAAUAUAGCAAGAGCCUUGUCUACGUUCCUCUCUGCUUUUAUUAAGUGCACCACUUGAGAAGAAGUUAUUUUUUUCGACCAUUUAAAUGCAACCUUGGUGCCCAUUAUAGCCAACUCCCUAGGUUAACAGUAAAAAGCUCCCAAUUCAAAUAAUGUAUCAAAUGACAUGCUUCAAUCCUAGUCAGCAAUUCAUACAGACACCUAGACAAGAUUAUGAUAUAAAAGUUCAGCAAAUAUCUAAGAGGUGAGUAUAUAAUAAAUAUAUGAGACCAAAUUCGAAAAUGGAUGCCUCUAAAUUUAUUAAACAUGCCAAAAAGGAGAACCAAACGAUACAAUAAUGAACUGUUAAUGCAUUGGAUUGCUGGUGUGAGCAUUUUAUCGAACAUUUGGAGGGUGGAAAUCAGAAGAUUGCCAAAAUCAAUACAUGAGAAACCAGAAAAUUAAUUAGCAAAAUAAUCAACGCAUGAGUAAAUUCCCAACAAAUUUAACGAGAAUAAAAAAAAAUCUUCAAAAAGAUAAUUGAGCAAACAAGUGGCUUACUAUUCGCUGUGCUGACGUGAAGCGAGUGAUCCUAAUAUGUUUGAGAAAUCAAACUGCUAGUGCGGCUUGCUUGCUUGUGCCGUCGCAAUUCCUCAUAAACCAGGCUGUUGCAGGCCGAAUGCUGCCCAUAUUUCUGGCCCAAAAAGGGGUUCGAAACCGUAUUCUAGUAAGAAAACGAUCCAGCCCAGAAUUUGUGUAACAGAACAUAAUAUCUUGGACAUGAUAUCCCUUGCUUCACGAGACUUAUACUGGGGAAAAUAACUUGUCCCAUACGUCCCCUCUGCCCCAGUCUCUCGCCUUCCUCGGUUCUUCCCCUCCCUAAGCUAAAUCCUCAGCCACAGGCCGCAUUUUCCCUGUUGUCUAUUUUUUAGUGCAUUAUAUCACUGUUUCGUUAUUCGUCGUAUUAUUUGCUUACUGUCAAUGACUUAAAUAACUUUUUAUUUUGUUGACGUUUUUAAAUCAUAAGGUAAUAUGUUAACUUUUUUUUUUUUUUUUUUUUUUUUUUUUGCUUCUAAUACAUUUUUUGGAUUAGCCCAAUACAAACGGUAUGUAACCGUUAACAGAUACAAUUGAAACAUAACAUAAACUGGUACCAUUCAAACACCACCACCAUCACAACAACCAAAUAACUUAACUAAUCAAAUAGUUGUGACACGUAAUUGUGUUUAUUUAUACUUAUUAUAAAAUCUUCGAACUAGUGGAGUACCAACUUGAUUGAGGAAAGAUUAAUGUAUCAAUUUUUUUAAAUGAUAAUUAAUAUUCUUAUUUUUUCAUAUUUUCAUAUAAUCUUUAAAUUAAAUAAUUAAAAAUUACAUAUUCGAUGAUUAAAUGCAUGUUUAAUAAAAUUUACAUACAAAUUUUUUACCAUUUGAAUACAUUUCACUCGCAACAUAAGUGAAAUAUGAUUUAAUAUUAUAUAACCUUUUUUUAAAUCCUGAAUCUUGAUCACUUGCAUGAGCUUCUUUGAAUUAUAACCAUGUAAUUAUAGAAUUGUUAUAGAUCUACAUUUAAUAUAUUUUCAAUAUCUACGCUAUAUAUUAAGAUUUCAAGUUUUGAUUAAAUUAGUGCCAUUCACAACUAGAUUUCAAUUGUAAAAUUACUUUUACAAAGCAAAUAUUAUUAUUUUGAAAGUAUUUAUGCGUUGUUUAUUUUUAUAUAAAAUCCGGGAAAACAAAUUAAUCCAAUAUACUAUAAAAAUCAGUCUCUCAACCUUACCAAUUCAAUUAAAACCCAUAUUUAAUUUUUAUACUAAUUUUUUUUAUAAAUUCAUUAUAUAGUUAUUUUCUCUAGUUAAAUUAUUUAUAUCUAUAUUUAAAAUUUUUGCAAAGAUAUUUUAAACAAUGUAUACUUGAGUGAUUUAUGCACCAUUUCCUAAUAAAAAUUAUGCAGUAUUACGUAUCGCAUACAAUAGGUAAAAACAACAAAAGUCAUAUUUGUUCAUUCCCCCCUCCCCCUUAUUAAAAGAUCUCACUCUACCUACCAUCCACGCACAUUUUGUUCUUGAGAGAGUUAUAAUUAUUUUAUAUAUCAAUUGCAAGGUUUGGAACUUGAAUUCCACAUACGAAAAUAUUAAAUUUUUUAAUAGGCUUUGCAUGGAUCUAGACUCUCUAACCUUAAUAGUUAGCUUUUGGGGUGUGAUUCUCUAAAGGUCUAUAUCAAUUCAUAUUAGAGCCAACCAUCAUGUCUCUCAUUGCAAUUGUAUGACAUGGGUGGUGAUGCCAACAUUGUAAUGUUCACCUGAGAUUACAUUAAGCUAGUGCAAACCCAGCUAGUAUGGGCACAUAACUGCAGAGCCUGGUGGAUGUUAUGUACCAAUUGCAAUAUAUGAGACUUAUGUAACAGCCUAAUUUUUCAGUGGUAUCGAAAACAGUGGUUUCGGAGUCACCGAAUUCGGCAAGUAAGUUCAUAAAUAUUAUUAUCUAACAUUUACGAAUUAAAUAUGAUUUUAAAAAAAGGGGUCUUUGAAUUGGUAAUUUGUGUUUUAUAAUGAUUUAUUAAGUCAAGUGGUUUUAGAAAGUGAGGUAUCGAGACCUCGUUUCUAUAAACCGAGCCGUAAAUAUUUUUAUAAAUAUUUACGGAGUGUCAUUAAGGUAGUAUUAAAGUUUCGUUGAAAAUUUUAAUGUUCUGAUAGCUAAUUAAUUAAAAAGGACUAAAUUAAAAAGGUACAAAACUUGUUAAUUAUAAGAAUUAAGUGAUUAAAUGGUUUAAUUAAUAAAUAGGGAAGGACUUAAGAAAUAAAUAAACCUAAAUUAAAUGGAUGAGGCGGGAUAAGAGAGAAAAAAAAUAAAAUAAAGCCAUUAAUGGUAAAAUUGUAAUUUUGGUUAAAUUAUAAAUAAAACAAAUUGAAUUUGGAUAGUUUUCUAGACAAUUCCUCUUCAAAUUCGGCCAAAACAGCCAUAGGGGAAAGAGUUUAAGCUGGUGCUUUAUAUUUUGGCGUAAAUACUCGUGAAAAAGGAAAAAUAGUGGAAUAAUCCUUGAACUUCUGCAAUUAUUACAAUUCAAUCCAAGUAAGUUCGUACAGUUAAAAUUUAAUAUUUUGUAUAAAUUGAUGAAUGGUAUUAUUUAUUUAUUCUAUUUUUGGAAUUGAACUAUUGUUGAAAUUAUAAUAUUGAAUUGGAUUUCGGUUUGAAUGGAACGCGAGAUUUGAGUACAUUCGUAUUUUGGUGUAUGAUGGUUUGGAAAGAGACAACGAUAUUUUUUCAAAGUAAAUCGGGGUUCAGCAUUUGUUGCGAACUCUCGUGUUUUACUUUUUGUUCAGCUCUUAUGAGUUUCUGUUCAGCUCUUAUGAGCUUCUGUUCAGCUCUUACAAGCUUCUGUUGGUGUAUUCAGGAAGACUAACUCUUGUGAGCUUCUGUUAACGAUGUACUAUUAUCCGUAAGUUGUUAUUCGAAUGGAAAAAUUUCGGUAAGGUGAUUUAUCUAAUGAAUUUGAAAGAUAUGUUAUUCAUUUUUACAUUGAUUUGAAAACGAAUGUAUUUAUUAAUAGAAUUUAUGGAUGAUAGGAAAUUGUCAGUGAAUGAUAGGGAAUUGACAUGAAUGAUUUUAUUUAUUUGACUUGUUAUAGUAGGUUCGGUAAGAUUUUGUUUAAACCAUCGAACUUACUAAGCUUCAUUAAGCUUAUUUGUAUUGUUUAAUGUCUUUGUAGAUUUUUAGAAGGUUGGACGAUAGGAUCAGCACUCAAGUCACACUAUCCAGCUUAUCUCUGUAGUUUUUAAAACAUUAAAUACGAUUUAUAUGGUAUGUAUAGGCUUUUGUUCGAUUUUGGUCAAAAUUUAGCUUAUGUAAAUGUUAUGAAUAAUAUUUUGUUUAUAUAACCAACAUACAUAUUGAUAUGAAUUUAAAGUAUGAGUGUGAUGUUAGUAUAAGUAAUAUAUAUAAUUGAGUUAAAACGAACUUUGGUAACUUAGUUAGGUAAAUUAAAUAGGUAAGUUUGGAUAUUUGUGGACUUAUUUUUAAGUUGUCAUUAGAGGUACUUAUGAGUAUAUUGGUUGUAGAAUUACAUGUAUACGGCUUGAUUUUAGCUUGUGUUGAAUGCUUUGUUAUGGCUUAUUGAUAUGUAAAUUGUUGAGGCUAUGUUGGUAUCAAUUUGGGUGAGAAAUAUGGUUUGGAAAAUGACCUAUUUUUGUCCACAGGGGCGUGUGUCUCAAUCGUGUGCAAUACACGGCCAAGUGACGCGGCUGUGUGUCCCCUAUAUCAUUUAAAUUGCACAAGUAAAUAUGCACACACGGCCUAGCACACGGGCGUAUUGCUUGGCCAUGUGGCCCAAGUCAAAGAGUUAUACGGGCAUGGACAUGGGCUGGAACACGGCCGUGUGUCCCUAUUUUAAAUGCCCACACGGCCUGGCCACACAGCCGUGUGUCCCCUGCAGCUUUGAAAAUUUCAAUAUUUUCUAAAAAAUUCUUUGAGUAUCCGAUUUAGUCCCGGCUUGUUUUUAACACGUAAUUUGGGCCUCGAUGGCUCAUAUAAAGGACAAUAUGUUUGAUUUUGAUUAGUUUAUUACAUGAAUGUUAUAUUAUAUGAAAUGUCUAUUUAUUUGAUCUGUAAUCUCUGGUAAUGCUCCAUAAUCUUGUUUCGGCGACGGAUACGAAUUAGGGAUGUUACAACUUAGGGUCUGUUUGAUUGAAGGAGUUGAUUUUCCGGAAAAUCAUUUUCAACUUUUCCAGCGUUUGAUUGGCGGAAAACAUUUUCCAUUUGGAAAAUGAACUCCAAAACAAGGGAAAAUGGGUUACAUUUUAGGGAAAAUGUCUUACCCUUUCAAUUUCCGUAAGACAUUUUCCGUGCUCUCCUCUCUAUCGCCUCCUUCAUUCCUUCCUUCAUUUCCGGUGGAAAAUUGCUUCUGUUUAUCGAUUUUUCAGUAACUUAUUUUUUUAAUUAUUCAAUACUUGUUUUUUUAACACAAUUACAAAUAAUUUAUUUGAUAUUAAUUUUUUUCAAUUUAUAACGAUUAAUAUUGUAGCUUAAUAAUUGAGUAUUCUUAUAAAUAAAUCAUUGCAAUAUAUGUAAAAAUAAUUUAAAAUAUAAAAAUUUAUUAAUAUAUAUCAAUAUAUGUAAAAACAAUUUUUUCGAAAAAUAUUUCCAGGAAAUCUGCCAAACAGCCGAAAAUAUUUUACACAGAUUCAAUCAAACACCAGAAAAUAUUUUCCAGUAAAUCAUUUUACAGAAAAGUAAAAUAUUUUCCCGAAAUCAUUUUACGGAAAAUAUUUUACUGGCAAUCAAACAGGCCCUUAGAUUCCACAUAGAAAAAUAUAAAAAUAUAAAAGAAGGAUGCAUUGGAUUUUGAUUCAAAUAAUUUACAAUUCAAAUAAAAAAGUUGAUUGUAAAUGAAAUAUAAAUCUACCUCAAGAUGUUUUAUUUUGCUUUGCAAAACCAAACGUUGACUAUGAGAUAUGGCAUUUUAACUAUCACAAAAGAAUUUUGAACAUUGAAAUAGCAAAAGUUUGAAACUCUUUUACUAUAUUCAUAACCCCAAAAGUUUCAAAAGUAAUAAUUGUGAUGACUUGAUAUUUAGUUUAAGUGGAAGAGUGGGCAAUGAUUGGUUCUCCUUUGAAGACCAACUUGUUAGUUGUGGAUCAAAAUAAAGAAUGUAAUCAAUGUUAAACUGUGAUUAGUGUGAUCACUUGCCUAAUCCACGUUUGAAUACAUAUAAAGAUUUAGUCAAGUAUUGAAGAAUGCAUUUUACUUCUUUGGAGCAUGCAUAAACUUAAAAAGUUUGGUUCAUUGGAAACAAUCAAAUUUUGUGAAGGAAAGAAAUUAGAGUUUCCCAAUAGUUUAUCAAUAUAUAGUGACAUCAAUAUGGUCAAAUGCUCUUGAAGUUUGUAAGGAUAAGAGGAACUAAUUGAAGUACAAACUCAUAUACUGUAUUGCAUCCCUCUAUCAUUGAUAACAUGCUGAAUGUAUUUGCUUUGCGUCAUUAGGUAUAGUCCUAUCGAAUGUGCAUUUAUAUUUAUAAAAAAAGUCGGUAUGUAAAGCAAAACUCAUUCAAUUUGGAAUUGAAUAACUGGCUUGCGAUAUGGAGAAAGGUUCUUAACAGAUUUCUUUCACCCUAAUACUCAUGCAAGGGAGGGAUUUGCACGGUUAAAAUCCAAAGAAUAUGACGACAUGAUCUUUAACAUAGAUCCAUCUAUUAACAAACUUCGUUGGAAUUAUAGAGUCAGGUUGAUGGUCUUAAAAACUUUGCUCUCUUCUGAGCAGUACAAAAUAGACUAAAAGUUCUUUAUUCUUCUCAAAUGACAAAUGCAUCACUAUUAAAACCACACACUAACAGUAAACAAAACACUAGAAAUCAGGCAUCCUUUUCCAUACGAGUGGUGGAAUGAUCACAAGCAGGUAUUCCCAAGUUCCUACUGAUCAUAUCUUUCAUUUUUCCUAAAUCAAAGCCCACCCGAUGGUCCCAAUAACUUCUUGAUUCCAGAUUUCUGCUCUGCAGUUAACCUUGUUGGGAACUUAAUGUUGAACUUGAUUCUGAGGUUACCUCUUUUCGAUGGGUCUUUGGGAAUUGGCAUACCUUCCUUCGGGACUACCUCCUCAUAAUUUGGAUGGAUCACACUGUUGAUGGGGAUGUUCAAGCUCCUUCCAUCCAAUGUUGUAAGAUGAACGGUGUAGCCUGUUAAUGCUUCGGCCAGCGAUAUCUUUUGCGUGACAACCAGGUCAUUGCCAUCGCGUGUGAAUGUGCUGUGAGGUUUUUCAUCGAUUAUGAAAACAAGAUCUGCAGGGAUUGUGUUUGGUUGUUCGUUUCCUUUCUCAGGGAAGGUGAUCUUUGUUCCCUUUUUCCAACCAGGUUUGAUAUCAAUGGUCAGGAUUUCCUGCACUGGCAAUGUCUUCCUGCAACACAGUCAAAUUUUUAAGACAACCUUGUUAGCAAGCGAACCAUCAUUAUCAGGCAUGCCACGAUCUUAUCUCGUAUAGGUAUGUUUCUAAAUAACAUGUACGAAAUAUGAUCAAGAUAAACUCUUCAGCUCUCUUUUACUGCUUACUUAUAGACUAAAACAGAUCAAUUAGGAAGUUAACAAAUACGUUUCAAUAUAUCAUUGAAAACCAAUAAUUGAAUGAUUAAUAGUACUGCAAACAUAUUUCAAUAAAUAGAUACUUCUUGUUACUUCAGAAAGAUAUCAACCAAAUUCAAUGAACGUUCAGCUGGAAACUCGAGAACACAUACAAAAAGGAAGAUAAAAAGUCAAAUUAGUAAAGUGAGACAUACCCGCUAGCAUCUGCAAUUUCUCUAGAAAUCUUCAUCUUCUUUGUGGUUCCUUUAUAUAAAUCUUCAAGGCUACAAGGCAACGUAUUUUCAAUAGGAGGAGGUUUACGAGGAUUCUGACUCAUUGGCCUUCCUUCACCAAACGAACUGAAUAUAUCAUCACCAAACAUACCACCGAAUGACCUCGAGCUACCUCUCAUCCCACUGCCGCCCAUUCCCCCAAAGGGGCUAGAAUACCCAAAGAACUCGGCAAAGAUGUCAUUAGCAUUUCUGGGGUUGAAUCUGAACACAUUUGGACCAUCUCCGGUUUGGAAAAAUGUUGCUCCACCAGGUCCGCCAGCAUCUUGCGGUGGUACUUGGCCUUUUAGCCCUUCUUCACCAUACUGGUCGUAGAUAGCUCUCUUCUGUGGGUCACUCAGAACCUGCAAACAUGAAAGUUGGUCAUAUUUUCCUCUUAAAUUUUGACUUCCUGUAGAUGUAAAGAUCAAACUUUCAAUUGAUGAGAUGGGCAAUCGCAUAGUUUGAAUUGAGGAGACCUAGGUGAUAAGCAUGUGAUUUUGAAGUCUCAAUAACCAAAGAGAAACCACCAAACUUGAUCGAUGAUCAUCCUGAUUAUUAAAUAAAAGCAACCCAAUUUUUCCUUUGAACUUUAAGAAUCAACAACAUAAAUGAAUUUAUAAAAAAAGAAAAAGAGAUAAGCUAACCUCAUAAGCUUCAGAGAUUUGCUUGAAUUUGGCCUCAGCUUCCUUUUUGUUAUUUGGGUUCUUAUCAGGGUGCCACUUCAUGGCAAGCUUCCUAUAAGCUUUCUUCAAAUCAUCAUCUUUUGCAUUCUUGUCAACUUGUAGAAUCUUGUAAUAAUCUACACCCAUCUUCUUCUUACUCAACCUCUGCUUUUUUUCGCAGAGCUUCUUUAUUCGUUGCUGUAGCUUUGCCGCAGAAAAGAUAAAAAAAAAUGAAAAACUUGUGAGCACCUAGAAGAUAGAGUUGUGUUUGAAGUGGUUUAGUGUUUGAUUUAAGGGAAAAGAAGAAGAUAUGUCUGGAAGGCAAAUGAAAAUGACGAGAAGGGUGUCGAAGUUUCCAGAUAAGCCCAAGGGGCUACACGAUUUCUCCCGAUUUUGUGUUUCUAAUUUCUAAAGCAAACAAAACUACCUCUUCCUCGCCUCAUUGAUUAGUUUUUACAGUUACAACCCCAAUAGUUGGACCUGUUCUUGGCCCUCGCCUCUCCCGCGGGUAGUAACUAUUCCUACACCCAUACAGACGAAUCUUUCUAAUUUAAACCUGAUCUACUCAAAUUAAAUAUAAUUUCUAAAAUAAAAUUAUAAAAUAAUGUAAAUACUAACAACACGUUUGGUUCGCUGUAUUAGAUUAGAGGCAUAAUGGAAUAGAGGUGUAAUGGAUUAGAGGUGUAAUGGAAUAGAGGUGUAAUAGCAAAUCAACUGUUUGGUUGAAUGUAAUGGAAUAGAGGCGUAAUAGUAAUCUUGUGUUUGGUUGAAUGGAAUAGAGGUGUAAUAGCAUAAUGGAAAAAACUAAAAUGACUAGAAUACCCUUAGCAUAAAUUUGUUUUGGUAAAUGAUUAUUGUUAUUGUUAUUUAAAUUUUAAUAAGAUUAUUAUUAUCAAUAUUAAAUAAUUUAAUCAUAUUUAAACAUAAUUAUUAUUAAAUAUAUUAUAAUUAAAAUAUAUAAUUUAAUAAAAUUCUUAAUAAUCAAUAUUCUUAUAUGAAUUUACUCAAAUCAUAAUAUAUGAUACUAUAAAAUUUACUAAAAUCAUAAUACAUAAUACUAUAAAAUAUAAUUUAAAAUAAUUAUUAUUAAAUAUAAUUUAAUAAAAAUAUAUAAUUCCCCCCACGUUAUUUGGAGAUACAGGAUACGAAACGAAUUAAUUGUUUGACUAAUCAAGGGACUGAUUUUGUCUAGCCAUAAAAUAUAUCAAUAUAUAUAUUUAUGUAAUGAGAGUUUUUCAUUUACAUCCGAGUUUAAACUUUUAAUGGGAGAAAAAUUAUCAAAUUUAAUUAAACCAAAAAAAAAAAACUUUAAUGAGAAAAAAAUUCCAAAAAGAUCUAACUCUGCAAAAAGAAAUAAAAUAUCAAACUGUUUUACUUAAUUAAUCAGAUUGCUUUGCGUUGAGAUCUUAUUUAUCUUUCAAUUUCCAGAGCUAAAAUAGAUCAAGAGUGCUGAAUUAAAUUCCUCGUUCAUGAAAAGUAUAGCAGAGAUUACUGAAGUUACCAAAAACAAUUAAAUUAAAAUACAGUAUUUAAAACAAAUGGCGACAAUAGAUCAAACGAUGCCAUUAACUAUUAAGUGCUUAAAGAACACCAUAUCCCUCAGAAAACAAUACAUUAGAAAAACUAGAAUUCCAUACUGUCUUAAAAAGUUCCCAACAACAUGACAUGACAUGAAAUGAAAUGAAUAAACACCAUUUAGAAAAGAGAUGUUCCCUUCCCCUUCUUGUCGCCACCAAUUUCAAAAUGCUUGCACCUCUGCAACAACACAAGACACAAACACCAACACAUUAGCUCAUCAAGCAAACACAUUGGUCAACAAAGGUUUUUUCUCAAUGCACAAACCUUGAUUGGAUGCUAGGAUACAUGCUUGCAACCCUGGCAUUGCAGCCUCAGCACAAUCUUCUUGGUGGUCUUGGCCUAUUCAAACCAUACAAUGCCAUUAAUAUUAUAUAACAUGCUAGGAGUCUUGACAAAUAGCAAUGAUCAGAAUGACAAAAUGAGUUAACACUUGGUACUAACUAGUACCAGAAGAUGCAACAUAAGAUAUUAGAUCCUCUCUCGGUGUAUCAAGAAAUAGCAAUAGCUAAACAUCCUUUACUAACUAGUAUCAGAAGAUGCAGCAUAAGAAUUCUAGAUAUUUUGGUUAUAUAACUAAACACCAAGCAAGAUAUAAAAGACAAGUGAAGAGGAAUUACCUUCUUGUGGAACACUGGUUUGGUCUGACCACCAUAACCUGAUUUUUUUAAGAAAAUUUCUACUGCAUUUUUAAUGCCAAUUUGAUGUUCUUAACCAACUUCCAUUAAACAUUUACAAGAAAAAGGGAGAGUCGGCUAUUAAUUAAUAAUAACCAAUUAAAUAAUCAUGCAGAGCUUAGUUACGCAAUAUUUAUUGCGUCAUUAGGGAAUAUAUUGACCUAAGCAAACCUUGUAUUCAUCAAGCUAAGGCUGAAGAUAUCUAUGCAUUAAUUUCAACCCCAUAGUGUGGCAUUGAAAGGGUUCUGAGCAUGUUAACAGACUGAUUUGAUUAUUGAUGCAAGAACGAAAAUGAUAAGAAUCGGGUUGAAAAACAGGUAGUAUAAUCCAUGAACAAGCAACAGAAUGUGAAUCCCAUGCUGCGAAAUGUAAUAAGACAUGUUUUUGCAUGGGAUAAGCAAACCAGAUAGCAUACAUAAACCUUAAGACAUAACAUUGCAACAAAGUAUAAUCAUCUAGGCCUAUUGAAUAGAGGUUUGAUUCUACAAGAAUGAAUAUGGUGCAACUUUACGACAAAAACUUGAUUGCGAUUUCAAGCUGCAUAUAAAGCAAGCAAAGAAGCAGAAUUGGGUUCUAACUGACCAUAGUGCAGUGUCAUAGUGAACAUGUAGAAAGCUUCAUAGCUUCCAACUUCAUCCGGGUUCGAAAAUUAACAGCCUUAGCAUAAAAACAUGCCUAAUAUGCCACAAAAGUGAGAACCCUAUAGGCCUAGACUAAGGUCAUGCAACUGAAAGCUGCAAUAGAAGAAGCUGAAACCUAUACUAGAUGAUAAGAUAAAACUGAUAUACAAUUUGUACGAGCAACGGUAUAAACAAGUCAUCAAGUGAAAGCAUUACAAAUUGUUCUCUAUCAGCAAACAUGAAAACUUGCUCUAAUGAAAGCAUUGUUGCAAACGGUUUAAACACGAAAAUAGAAUAUUCGUUGCAACCCCAUGGUACAAAUAUGUUUCAAACAAAACCGAAUAGUAAACGGGGAACAAAUUCUGUCUUGCAAUGAACAUGUAAGGCAUAUAUCGAAUCGACGUAAACGACAUAAUGUAUGAAUUAUGAUACAAUAUAACAAAGGAUAAGCAAAACAAAGGAUAACCAAAGUAACAUGAAUACAAACAAGCAAAAUAGAAGCAAUUCAUUCAAACUUAAAUGGAAAUAAUUUAGCAUAUAUCAUCUAUGCUAGUUGAUCAAAUGGAAAUAAUUUAGCAUGUCAGAAGAGAGGACCUAACAUUCUUUAGGGCCUAAGAUGAAACUUAAAUGAUAUAUGACUAUGCAUGCCUGGAAUUUUAACAUUAUUUCUACUUUUAUGUUACUAAAACCUUGUCCCUCAGAGAAUUUUGCUCUUUUGAUCAGGUGACAGAAAGCAAAUUAGAUCAGUCCCAGCCUUUAGAAGACAAUUCUAACUCAAUUUCAAACAAUGGAAUGCACUAAAUCGAAAUUUUAAACUAAAUAAAUUUAAAACACUAAUCAGGAAACAUAGAUAAACAUCUGAAGCGUAAAAAUUAAAGGAAAGGAGACAAGGUAUUCUCACUGGUAGUAGAGGCGCAGGCGGCGGUGCUGGAAGUUCAAAUCUGUGAAAGUGAUGAAAUUUUUGGGUCCUGAUAAAAAAAAGAGCAAAAACGUAUGAGAAGAUGGAGCUGAAGGCAAAAAUCAGUUUUAAGUUUACCUCUGCAAUCAAUGGAAGGGAAACGUCGGAGAGGAUGAAGCUUGAUAAGGGCAGAAAAAGAUUACCUCCCUUCCCGCUACUGUUUCUCAGUCGUUGUAAGAAGCGGAAGAAUGGUGAAGCCCUUUGGCUGUCAGCGUACCUUUGGCUGGAAGAAGAUGAAGGCGAAUCGAUUUGGCUGGAAGAAUAUGUGAAAACGUGAAGGUGAAUCGAUUUGGCUUGAUUUGAGGAUAUGAAAUCGACGGGAAAUUUUUGGGGAGAAGAAGGCAGGUUAUUUUGAUCUCAAAAUUAAAGAAGAAAACGGUGAAUAGCUAUUACAAACUAAAACCCAGGAAUACCUAUUACAGCUGCUGAGGGAAUAGGCAAGGAAUAGCAAAACCUCCGAUUAGGUAAACGGCGAAACCAAACGGCGUAUUAGGUGGGGCCACCGAAUCGGGGUGUAAUGGAUUAGCCAUUUCACCCAACCAAACAUGGUGUAAAUACAUAUGGUACACCAACUUAUGGAUAAUAAGAAAAUUUUUAAAAAUAAAAUUUCAUCAAUGAAUAGAUUUCUUUUUUGGUCAAUUACGAAGAGGGUAAAGCCCUAACAACAACACAAUUAAUACAACUUGAACUCAAGUCACACUUAGGAUGAUGAACACCUUAACUAUUAAGCCAACACACAAGGUUCUCAAUUGAUAGAUUUUUAAAAUAAAAGCAUUUGUAAUCAUCAAUAAAUCAUAAUAACUUUUCUCUUUUUUCUUCAAGUCAUUUGUUUUUUUGUCUAGUGAUGGUGUCGGCUUCGGAGUUAACUAUCGUCCACUUUUUUUUCCCUCACAUCAAUCAUUUUUUUCUUCUUUCUUUUUUCUUUUCAUUCACAUCAUGUGUGUUUUCUCUUUUCAAUUUGCAGAUCUAUUUUGUGGUAUAUUUGCUCUCUUCACAAGUUGUGAUGGACAAAUGACGGUGUUUGUUGUCAUUGAAAAUCCAUCGACUACUAGCAAUUUUUCUUGAAAAGUGAGUGACUCUCCGUCAAUUUCAAAAUAAUAAAUGAUUUCACAAAUCGGUUUGGAUCCGUAAUGUCUUGAGUUUUAUAUGUUUUUUUUCGUUGUUUAAUUAGUUUUCACGAAGUUUUUGUUUGCUCUUAUAACACAUUUUUUACUCUUGCUUAUGCAUAUAGUCUUACUUUUGCAAGUGAUUUUAAGGAUGGUUUUGUCGCUGUCCUCUUCUAUUUGGUGAAUGCUUGGGUAUUUUGUUGAUUUUUGUCCACCGCUUUGGACCAUCCGGUUGAUUUCCUUAUCAUAUUAAGUGCUUACAAUCAUAAUUUGUAACACCCCUUACCCGAGACCAUUACCGGAGUCGAGCUCGAGGCAUUACUUUACUUAACUUAAAAAUUCGGGGCAUAAAAUUUUACUUUUGAAAUUAAUUUCACUAUUCACAACAAAGCUGUCCACCUGCGCAGCAGUUACUAAUUUAGUUAUAACUCGAGCUACGAAACCAAAAUUUAAAUCUGUAAAUUUUCCCUGAAACUAGACUCAUAUGUCUUCUUACCAUAAAAUUUUCAGAAUUUUUGGUUCAGCCAAUUAGUACAGUUUAUUAGUUAAAGUCUCCCCUGUUUCACCACUCGACUAUCCUGACCUCUUGUCACUAAAAAUAAGCUUUCUCAUUGUAGGAAUUUCAUAUGGUGUUAUAAUUUAUUUCUACAGAAAAUAGACUCAAUAAGGAAUCUAGAAAUAUAAAAUAUAACUCAUAAACAUUUUUGUAAAAUUUUUAAUGAUUUUCUAAACUCAGAACAGAGGACUCCAAAAAUAGUUUUGACCCUGUCUCACUAAAAUUCACAUAUCUUAAAAUAUAAAAUUCAUUUUGCUACACCAUUAUUUUUAUAUGAAAGUAGACUAAAUAAUAUUUAAUUCUAUAUAGCAUUCACUUUCUAAUUCAUUUUAUACUAUCCUAUGUGAUUUUUCAAAUUCACGUCACUGUUGCUGCUUGAAAUCUGUUUCUUUGCAAAUUUUUCUCUUUCAUGAUUUCUAUGCAUGAUUUAUCACCUAAACAUUUAUAACAACAAACACCUUCAUACUAGCCAUUUUAACAAUCAUUCAUCAUCAAAUACUUACAUAUCAUUCUUUAGAAAAAUCAUAAAUACUAACAUUCAAAAUAACUAAGUCCCUAUACAUGUCAUAACCCAAACAUGGUUCAUCAUAAAAUACCGAGUUGUUGUCGUUGAUAGUGUGGACAAUCUCCGACGUAUUUAAGUUCCCGAAAGUAGCUCUACAAUACUAUAUGAGAAAGAAAAAUAAAAGAAGUAAGCAUAAAGCUUAGUAAGUUUACUAGCAAAUAAAUAACAACAUUUAACACUAAUAAUUAAACUCAAAUGUCAAGAUCUCUAGUUUACUCUUUAUUUAAUCUCAUUCUCGUUCUCUUGCUGGUUUACUAAGUUAACUCAUGAUCGUAACUUAUUCUUCUCUUGCUGAAACAUUGAGUACCAAUUGAUAAUAUAGUAAGUUCUUAACUCUUAUAACUCAUCUGAGCUUGCCAUUUAUGCUUUUAAAUGAACUUUCAUUAACAUGAUUCGUUUACUAGCCCGUUGAGCCACGUUGGAAUAAUAAGGAUACUUGGGUCUUUUCUGAUAGUAACAUGUUAAAGCCAUGUCCCAAACAUGGUCUUACAUGGGAUGUUCUUAUAUCGGUGCCCAUGCCAUGUCCUAGACAUGGUCUUACGGGGGACCUUUCAUCUCGGUGCCAAUGCCAUGUCCCAGACAUGGUCUUACAUGGGACCUCUCAUCUCGGUGCCAACGCCAUGUCCCAGACAUGGUCUUACAUGGGACCUCUUUACCCAAAUGUCAUGGCAUUUGUAUCUGAUACAUUCAUCAUGUUUCAACGGGGCUUUUUAACACCGAUUCACUGUCAUCUCAUACUUGAGUCAACAUUAAAUAAAUUCAUAAAAUAAAUGCAUAAUUGCUGGAAAAUAACAAUAUUAAUAAUAAUUAUUGAAAUAUUGUAUUUAUUUACCGUAAACUUACCUCGGUACAAAAUAUAGCCAAAUUCACCAACUUAGCCUUCAACUUUAUUCUUUCCUUUGUCUAACCUCAAGUUUCAUUCUUCUUGAUCUAAAAUAGCAAAUUUAACUCAUUUAAUACUCACAUUUAUCAAAACAGCCCUCAACUCUAACUUUGGAAAAAUUACAAUUUUACCCCUAAACUUUUACAUAAUUACAUUUUUUCCUCAAGGCUCGGAAAUUAAACUUCAUCUCAUAUUCUUAUGUUUUAUGACAUGCUGAACAUUUUUCCCUUCUAUGGCAACAUAAAAUUUCUACUCUAACACUUAUAAACAUUAGGUAUUUUUACUGAUUAUGUCAACUUACUCGUUUUCACUUAAAAUCGCUUAGCAAAAGUUGUUUAACAUAAUUUCUAGUUUCAUAUUCCACCAUAAAACAUCAAAAUAAACAUAUUUCACCUAUGGGUAUUUUUCCAAAUAUGAACCCUAGGUUAAAUUAUUGCUAGAAUAGGCUAAAUUAAGCUACAGGGAUCUUAAAAACGUAAAAAACAUUAAAAACGGGGCUUGGGAUCACUUACUAUGGAGCUUGGAAGCUUGAAAACCCUAACUAUGGCUUCUCCCAUUGCUAAAUUUGGCCUAAUGAAGAAGAUGAUCAAAAAUUGUCUUUUAAUUUUGUUUUUAAUUCAUUUUAAUAACUAAAUGACUAAAAUGCCCUUAAUGAAAAACUUUAGAAACAUGCCUAACCAUGUCCAUUUUUGUCCACCAACUUAACCAAUGGUCUAAUUACCAUGUAAAGACCUCCAAUUUAAAAUUUCAUAACAAUUGGACACCUCUAACAUAUAGAACUCAACUUUUGCACUUUUUACAAUUUAGUCCUUUUGAUUAAAUUGAGUGCCCAAACGUCAAAAUUUUUGGAUGAAAUUUUCAUGAAAUCUUUCCGUGAAAUUGUAGGCCAUAGAAAUAUAAUAAAAAUAAAUUUUUCCUCAUCGGAUUUGUGGUCCCGAAAUUACUGUUUCGAUAACCUUAAAUUUGGGCCAUUACACAAUCACUCCAAAUAUGUCGUGAAAGUAGUGACAGGGUCAAUUGUCAAUGUGUCUACUGAUGCUGAUGUUAAAGCUUUUGUUGUGUUGAUGGAGCUUAUCCUUAAUCAUCUAAGACCAGUGUUUAUUUUUUUUCCUGAAUUGUAUAGUUCCAGUCAUUAAAUGAAUUAAUGAAUUUUCCUUUUAAAAAUAAACUAUUUGAUUUUUUAAAUAUUUUUAUUAAAAAUUUAUUUUAUACUAAUUUUAGGGAAAACUACACAGAUAGUCACCCAACUAUAAAAAUUUUCAUUUUGGGCAUCCAAAAUAAAAGUUUGCAAUUUAAGCACUCAUGCUAUAUAGUUCAGUCAUUUUGGUCACUCCCGUUAAAAUCACAAACGACAAGCUAACUUGAUUGUUAAAAAAUCGGUAUAAUAAUAAAUUUAGCCCUCAACUUUUAUAUAUUAUAUCGUUUUAAUCAUAAUUUUUAAAAAAUUAACCAUCGAAAUUUAUAAAUAUUCUCAAUUUGAUCCUAAUUCUAAAAAUUUUAAAAAUAUAUAAAAUACAUAAAUAUUUUUAAAAAAAUAUAAUAAUAAAUAUAUAGAAAUAGAAAUUUGAUUGUUGACAAAAAAUUAUAUAUAAAAAUAAAAAAUAUAUAAAAAUACAUAAAUAUUUUUCAAAAAAAUAUAAUAAUAAAUUUAAAAUUUAUAUUAGCAUUAAUAUUAAAUAAAAAUAUUUAUAUUGAUAUUAAACAAAAUUAAAAACCCUACCUCACCCCAUCCUUCUUCCCCACACCCUAUAUAUAUACUCCACUAAUCUCUUCAUUUUUUUUGUCCCUUUCCUUCGGACCUCUCUUUCCAGCAAUUGAAAAACAAAUAAUUUCCAUGUUGGUUUUAUUUUUUAUUUUUCGAAUUUUUUUUAUCUUCUUCUUUUUGUCUUGAAAGGGUAGUCUUUAGUUGGAGUCAUUAGAUUCCUAUGUGUUCAACAAGUGCAAAAGGAAGAAAGAAAAUGAACUAGUGAUUGUAGAAUUCAACUAAAAGUGUUAUCUUGGGUGUUCAUUAAAUGUUCAUUGUUAAUUAAUAUUCUUGGAAUGAUGCUUUAUCUAAAGCCUGAAGCUUUGGAUGAAGACCAUCAUCCUCAAAGUCCUAUUGUCCUAAUAGUAAUACCAUUAAUGACAAUGAGAAUGAGAAUUGCAAUGGUGGUAAUAAUGAGGUUUUAUUCUACCAAUCAAUUGGUAUGUCUUUAUUUAUUUUUUACUUCUUUAUUUAUGCUCAUGUAUUUUUUUUUUAGUUUUGUUAUGUUGAAUGCAAUAUGGUUGAUAGUUUUGCUGUGGUAGCUCUAUUAAUAGGUAUUUAUAAUGAAAAAGUAGUAAGGUUUGGAGCAAGUCAAUUUCACCUGGGGAUGAAUCUUAUAACUUUUGUUCUUAGUUGGAGGUAAUUUGCAAAAACUAAUUUUAUGUUCCUUAAUUUUCAGCAAAGAGAGAGGGGGGGGACAGUGGUGGGGCAAGGUUCGGUGGGGGAGGGGGAGGCGGGUUUUUAUUCUAUUUAAUAUAUUACUUUUUCUUGUCAACAGUUUAAUAUUUUAUCUUUAUAUUUAUUUAGAAAAAAUAUUUAUAUAUUUUUUAUUUUUUAAAAUUAGAAUAAAUUUGAUAUUAUUCGUAAAUUUUGAGAGUUAAUUUUUAAAAUUAUGACUAAAUUGAUAUAAUUUGUAAAAAUUGAGAGCUAAAAUUUUUAUUAUACUAAUUUUGUUAAUUGCUACGUCAACUUGCCGUUUGUGAUUUUAACAGAGUGACCAAAAUGACAAAAUUAUAUAAUAUGGGUGCUUAAGUUAUAACCUUUUUACUUUGAGUGCUUAAAAUAAAUUAUUGAUAAUUAAGUGACUAUUCGUAGUUUACCCUUAUUUCUAAACACCAAAUUAAUCAAAUUGUUUUUUUUUAAUCAUAGAAGAAGAAACACAUAAACAAAAUAGAUGCAAACACAUAAAUAAAAUAGAUGCAAUUUUUGGUGUUAUAACACCAAUAAUAUCAACACCAAGUUGAUCAAGAAGAUAAUAAUAGAAAACACUUUGCAAUGUUUGUCCCCAAGCCAUCGAUUCUAAAGAAAGUUUAUUACCCUCCCUGUAAACAUGUUGGAUAACCACAUCCCACUCCUUUAAAUAGUCCCAAUCUUUUCAAAUUAAAUUGAUCUCCCCAUCUUUAGCAUUGUUGGUUAGUACGUUUACAACAUCAAUACUGUCCACUUCGAGAAUCAGUCGGCGUUGUCCACUCCUCCAAGCAAGUAUUAACCCUUCAACCACAUCCCACAUCUCUGCUUCCCAUAUUGAACAUGAGCAAUGAGUUUAGAAAAUCCAACAACCCAUUCUCUAUUCCAAUCCCGUAUAACACCCUCAGAAGCAGACACACCAGUAAAGGACUUAUGAGCACCAUCAAUAUUCAACUCGUACCAUCCCAAAUCAGGUUUCCUCCAGUUAGCUGACUUCACAUUCCUCGAGUAGCUGCUUAUAAUACUAUUAUCAGCAUACUCCAUCGCACCAAUACAUUGUUGCUGCAAUCACAAACUCCUUUCCGAUACCGAUUCAAGCUCUACAAAAUUACCAUAAAAAAUGAAUCUAGUCAUACGCUUCCAUAGGUUCCAACAUAAUACUCCAACUAGCACUAUCUCGAGCAAAGUAACUAAUAUUAGAAAGAUUCUGGUUCACCCAUUCAAGAAUCUGCAUAGUUAUGAAUUCAACAAGUUUCUUCUUCCAAACCAACCAUUUCCAAAUGACUGACGCUACGAUACAUCCACGAAGCACAUGGUCUAAAGUUUGAUGGAUGGGUAAAUAACACGCUUCUUGUGUUGAUACCAAAGCUAAAGAGUCCAGAAAUUGUCCAUCAACUAAGGCCUAUUAGUUUGUGCAUAGUUCUGUACAAGAUAAUUACAAAGGUAAUUGUGAAUUGAUUGAAACCGUUUAUACUGAAAUGGGUGUUACCAAACUAAGUGAGUUUUGUGCCGGACAGGAACAUUAUAUAUAAUAUUAUUAUUGCUCAGGAAAUUAUACACACGAUGAUGAGUAAGUUUGGGAAGAGAGGAUGGUUGGUGAUAAAGGUUGACUUGGAAAAAACCUAUGACCGGUUAGAGUGGAGAUUCAUCGAGGAUACUUUACUCGAUAUUGGGAUUCCGACCAAGUUAAGAACUGUUAUUAUGCAUUGUGCUAGCUUGGUCUCAACUUGGGUGGUAUGGAAUGGGAAGGUGACGGAUACUUUUGCUCCAUCUCGAGGUUUUCGACAAAGUGAUCCGUUAUCCCCUUUUCUUUUUGUUUUAUAUAUGGAGAGGCUAGUUCAAACUAUUUGUAAAUUGAUGGAUUUGGGUCUAUGGAGAUAAAUUUUUUUACUAGAAAUAUCACGAGCAUCUCACAUUUAUUGUUUGUGGAUGAUCUCGUUUUGUUUGUUAGGGCCUCAAUGGAACAAAUGAGUAUUAUUUAUCAAAUUAUCAAUGAUUUUUGUGCUUGCUCGGGCCAUAGAGUGAGUGUGAAAAAGAUGAAAAAUUUAUUUUUUGAAGAAUGUUGAGGACAACCUCAAACAAUAAUUGAGUGAUAUGGUUUUGCAUGAGUGAAUGAUCUUGAAAAGUAUUUGUGUAACAGCUUAAUUUUCAGUGGUGUCGGAAACAAUGACCUUAGAUCACUAAAUCUGACCAGUGAGUUUUAAAAUAUAAUAAAUAAAUAAAUAUGAGUCAAAUGUGAUUAUAGAAGAAUUUUGGAUUUGUGAAUUUUGUGAUUUAAAAAGAAAUUAAUAAGUAAAUUGGGUCUAAAACGAGGUAUCAAAACCUCAAACUCAUAAAUUGAGCCAUAAAUAUAUUUAUAAAUAUUUAUAGAGUGUUAUUGAUUUGAUAUUAAAGUUUCGUUAGAAAAUUCUAACGUUUGGAUGGUCAAUUAAUUAAAAAGGACUAAAUUGAAAAUAGUGCAAAAUUUGAUAUAUUAUGAUUAAAUAGCUUAAGUGACUAAUAAGGAGGGAUUUAAAAGGUAAGAAAAUCAGCAAGAAAAUAAGGAGAAACAAGGGCAAAAUUGGAAAUUUUGCAAAUUAAACAUAUAAAACAAAGACAAAAUUGAAAAAUCUAUAGAUUUCUUCAUAAUUCAUCAGAAAAAACGCCAUAGGAGGUCUGAAACAAGCUUUUUUCUCAUAUUUUUAUACCAUGUGAGUUCAAUUCUUCUUUUUUCUUUGAAAUUUUUAUGUUUUGUUACUUUUACAACUAGGUCCAACUAUUGAAUUCAUUAGUUUUUGAUUCCAUGGGUGAUUUUGCAAGUUACCAUGAAUAAGUGCUGGAAGUUUAUGAUGAAUUAUCAUAGAUUUGAAGCUUUAAUUUCAUUAUAUUAUGAUUUUAUUAAGUGAUUUUAGUAUAAAAUGAUUUUUCAGACCUAAUUGUGAAAAAGCUAGGAAUUGGGAUUUUGAACUGAAAUUCUGAAUAUAAAGGGUUGUAUAAUAGCCUAAAAUGAUUAGAUAAAGUGUUAUUUGAGGAAGAAUUAGUUUAAUUAAAGUGUUAAUUAAGUAGGGACUAAAUUAUAAAAACUAUAAAUUUUGAGGUAAAAGUAUAAUUUUAAAAAUUGAAGGGUAUAGAUUGCGAAUUAAGCAUACAUUUAUAUAUAAAGUACUCAGUGCUUAGUAAGUUCGUAUAACAGAAAUUAACUUACCAUACAUUUAUACAUAAAGUAAGCAUACAAAAUGCAUCCAAAGCAAUUUGGCCAUUUGCCUAACACAUAACUUCACCAGGCAUGUUAGUCUUUCAUUUCAUGUAAAUAUCAACAAUAAAAAUGAGCUCAUCAAAUAUAAAAAUAUAAUCUGAUGUAAUUAAUGUAUAUACGGGUAUUGAUUAAUCUUGAUUUCAUAUGUUCUUAUAUCAGAAUUUCACCCGUUAAUUUAUUUGAAAUCUUGAUGGAUACUUAGGUAGUACACCUGAAGUGUACAAUAAUAUAAACCCGUCAAUUCAUAUCCAAGAGUGCUUUUAUGAACACUUAAACAGAAAGCUCUCUCUCAAGAACUAUAACGGGAAGCUCAUUGAGCCUUGUACAGGAAGCUUAUCCGGGCAAUAUAAUGGGAAGCUCACAAAGAGCCUAUAACAGGUAGCUCCGAAGAGCAAUUAAAGGGUAACACCGGAUAGCCAUAUAACGGGAAGUUUAAGCGAGCAGUAACGGGAAGCUCACAAAGAACCUUUAAUCGGGAAGCUCACAAAGAACCUUUAAUCGGGAAGCUCACAAAGAGCCAUAUAACGAGACACUCAUAAGAGCUGCAGUGUGCCCACAACACAUGUAAGGUCACAACCGAUCGGGAUGCUCCGAAGAACAUUUAACAGGAAGCUCGCAAGAACACUAUAUAAUGGGAAGCUUGAGAGGGCUUAUAACGGGACGCUCUUUAGAGCUACGAUAUGUGACACCCCCAACCUGUAUCCCUCGCUGGAACUGGGUUACGGAGCAUUACCGGAGUUUACAGAUCAAACAUACAGAAAUUUCAAACAUUUCAUAUCAUCAAAACAAGUCAUCAAAGCAUCAUUUUAAUCCAAAUUAUAAACAUAUCAAAUCUAAAUCAAUUUGCCUAGUUCAUGAGCAGUUAAACAUAAAAUUAAAUUCACAUGCAUCUAUCUAGAUUUAGUUCAAUUUAUCAUGCCAUAAUAUGGCUUAAAAAACAACUACAUAUUUAUAUGUAUAAAACCAACCAAAAUUAAACUUAUAACCUCAUUUACAAUCAAACCACAAAAUAACUAUUAUUUAGACACCCUAGGUACAUGCCGACACAAAGGAUAAACAUCACCAUAUUUGAAUUCGGGAUUGUUGUUGGAUGCUGAAUCGGUGAUCAAAAGUUAAGCACUUAACCUACGUACGAGAAACAAAACCGUACGCUGAGUAUAAACUCAGUGGUAUUUCUAUAAUCCGAAUAUUUAAAGAUAAGAAAUUACAAAUAUACAAUUGAAAUAUAAACACAUAUUAAUAUUUAAUUAUUACAAUAAUCAUAUCAUAUUUCAUUUGUUUCACAAAUAUCUCAAUUCUCAUACUUGCUAUAUAAAUAGUUUUCACAAUUUAUUUCACAUUUCAUUAUACAAUUGCAAUAUCCAUUCCAUAGUCAUUUCAUGAGUAUAUAACUCAUAUAUUCCAUAUAUUUGCAACGUAUUUCACAUUCUAUUUCCAAUUCACUAUUUCACUUCCAUUUCUCAUACCAUGCCAUUUCAAUAUCAAAUGCCAACUCAUUUACCCCUAUUAACACGACUCGGACUCGGACGGAUACAUGAAUCCAACCAAACACACCAGUUUGGCACCCAAUGCCUCAUCAGAUAAUUCGAAAUAUUAAUUUGACACCUAGUGUCUCAUCGAUUAAACUGAAGUAAAUUGGCACCCAGUGCCUCAUCGAAUUAAUUCAAAGUAGUAAAUUGACACCCAGUGUCUCAUCAACUCGAAGUCAAAGAAAUCCCUGAACUCUUCUAAUCUUAUGGCAUGCCAUCUAUAUCAGACUCAGCCCGAUACAAUUAAUAGGGUUUUAAAUUUACUUUUCAAAUACAACCAAUAUUCAAUUCAAUUCAAAUAAUCAAUAUAUUCAAUAUAUAUACCAAUUCAAUCAAUAUAAAUUUAAUAAAUUCAUCACAUAUUAAAUCAAUCCAUUUCAAUUGCAAAACACAAUAAUUCUCACCUCAACACUUACCAUAUACAUUAAAUUAAAAAUACAACAAUUAAUAACUAGUUUCGGAUUAUAGAAAUACAAACCAGGAAUUCCGAACUAUUCCACGUCGACUUUAUCUUUCCCCUUUUUAGUUUAGGAUUCUGGUAUGACGUUAGCUACGGAAUUAAAACAAUUAAAAUUCAUCACUAUAAUACAAUUCAAUUUCAUAUUGCAUAUUUCAAUUUUUACUCAACAUUUGUCUAGAUUCCAAUUUAGUCCAUAAACCGAGACUAAUUUAUUUCUUAACAAUCAAUUAUAUAUUUUUAUUCAAUUUCCACUUUAAAAUAGAUUUAACUCUUUAAUUUCACUUAAAUCCCUAAAUUUUUAAAUUUUCACAAUUUAGUCCCUAUUACUCAAAAUUUACAAUGUAUUCUACAAUCCAAUCCUUUUUCACUUCUAACUUAAAAAUCUAUCAAUUUAAUCCCUAAUAAUAAAAUUAUUCAACAUUAACAACAUUUAAAAACUUAAUAAUUUCUAAAAUUUUGACAUGGGUCAGGUAGUAUUUAAUAUCGGGAUUCCAAAAACAUAAAAAUUACAAAAAAAGGAUUAAAUUGACUAACCAAUUAAAUUUGGAACUUUUAAAACCUUAAGGCCCUUCGUCUGUUUCUUUCUCCUUUUUUUUUCGUUUUGCUUCUCUGUUUCGUUUCUACCUUUCUAUUUCUUUUUCUUUCUUUCUUUCUUUUUGUUUGUUUUAUUAUUAUAAUAUAUAAUAUAUAUACUUAUAUAUUAAGUAAACUUAUUUUAAUAUAAUAUAUAUUAAAUUCACAUAUAUUUAACUUAUGCCGCCUCACCUAAAGAAAAAUGACAUAAUUUUGUGAAACUUUAGGGGUAAAAAUGUAGUUUUUCCAAAGUAUGAUUUUUGGACUAAAUUGAAUAAUGAGAGUGUUAAACAAGUUAAAUAUGUUAUUAUAAAUCAAGAAAGACGAGAAAUUGACUUUGAUCAGUGAGAAAGAAAAGUGAGAAAAAGUGAAAUUAUGAAAAAGUACAUUUAGCAACAAACAGUUUAGACAGCAACAGUUGUGUGACUUUGAAAAAUCACCAAAAAUGGUGAAAAUUUAAUUAUAGGCUGAAUAAUGUAUGAAAUUAAAACUUAAUGAGUCUAUUUUUACAUAAAAGAGACAGAGAAAGCAAAAGAAUUUUAUAUUAUGAGAUAUUUGAAUUUUAGUGAGACAGGGCUAGAAUGAUUUCGAAAUCUCAUGUUCUGACUUUGGAAAAUCAUUAAAAAUUGUAAAUUAAUAAUAAUGGGAUAAAAUUUAUAUGUUUAGAACCCUGAAUGAGUUUAUUUUCAAAAGAAACAAACGAUAACAUUAUCUGAAUUCUGUACUAUGAAAUAAUUAAUUUUUAGUGAAGAAGGGUCAGACCUGUUGAGCAGUGAAACAGGGGAACUUUAAAGAAUAAACUGCACUUAUUGGCUAAGCCAAAAAUUAUAAAAAAUUUAUGGUAAUAAAAUAUGUGAGUCUAGUUUUAGGUAAAAUUAUCGGAUCUUAAUUUGGAGCUUGGUAGCUCGAGAUAUAAAUAAAUUAGUGACUCUGACUCUGACUCUGACAAACAGUUUGAAUUUACAUACAAGAAAAUAGUGAAAGUAUGGAUAAUGUUAUUUAAGUGUGUUAUACACAUUAAGGAUGUGGAAUGGAGAGUAGGAGGAGGAAAAUUGGAAAAUAUAUGAAUGAUUUGUGUAUAAUUGGCCAUAUGCUUGAUUAUGAUUGAUAAACGAUGAAAUAGAAAUAAUGCUUAUGUUUGUGCAUGAUUGGUCAUGGUUUAACCUCAUGUGGGAAAAUAAAGUUUUAUUGUAUGUGUGUAUGGUAUAUUUGGAAUAUGAUUUGGCUUGAAGUAAUGUCAUGAAUGGUUUAUGAAUUAACACAUGUUGGUAAGUUUGAUACAUGAACAAAUGUUGUUUUCAUCCAUGCUUAUAAUGCUUAUGCUAUAUGUUUAUUUGGGUUCACAUAUUUGGUGUACAUGCUUAGGCUUUGGCCAAGUUGUGGUUGGAUUAUGCCAUGUUAAAAUUAUAAGUUAUGCAUUGAGAUGGUAAGUGCCUAAAUGGAAAUAUGCUUGUGAUCAUGACAGGGGUGGUAAGGUUUAAAUUAUGUAAUCUUUAGUGAAAUGGUUUAUCAUGUGGUUAGUUCCAAAAAGAAUUAUGUUUAAAUGCAUUAACUUGCGACUAUGGUUGAAUGAUAUGUUUAUGUCUUGUGUGAUAUGUAUAGGAAACGGGUGUGGAAAGGUAAUGAAAUAGUAAGUUCAUAUUUGAAGCGAAAAAUGACGAAAAAAGGGAUGAUGAGUUUAAUUGAUGUUGUUAUUUAAGCUAAAGUGAUAUUUUCAUUGCAAAAUUGAGAAUUUCAUAAAUGUGUUAAUGAAUGAUAUAGUCGAUAAAUGUUGAGUUAAAUGGUAAAUAUGUAUUAGUAUUGAACUUACUAAUAUUGAAUUGUACGUGAAUUAAAUGGAAAUUGCUAGUGAUAGGAUUUGAAUUGUGAGCAUGAAUAAAUUGUGAAUUGAAUAAAAAGAAAUGAAGCAUUGAAUUGCAUGAGUAUGUAUCGGGUCUCGUAGGCCCUAUUUAUUAUGAUUAUAAUAUAUUGAGGAUAUAUUGUGAAGAAUUAUAAAAGUAUGUUAAUAAUUUGAAAGUUUUAAUUUAGAUGAAAUUUUAUAACUCGGUUCAGUACGUUUACAAGUGUAUGUGUUCUGGUAAUGCCUCGUACCCUAUUUUGGUGUUGAAUACGGGUAAGGGGUGUUACAAAAAAAAUAUUUACGAGUCUAAUUUACGGGAACGGAGUCCCAGGAAUGCACUUUUUUUAGUUUGAUCAUUUUUAAUUAAUUAACCAUCGAAACGUUAAAAUUUUUUAACGAAACUUUAAUACCACCUUAAUGACACUCCGUAAAUAUUUAUAAAAAUAUUUAUGGCUCAGUUUAUAAAAACAAGGUCCCUAUACCUCAUUUUCUAAAACCACUUGAACUUAAUAAAUCACUUAUAUAACAUAAAUUAUCAAAUCAAAAACUUUUUUUUAAAUCACAUUUUACUCGUAAAUACUAAAUAAUAAUAUUUACGAACUUACUUGUCGAAUUUAUUUGCCCCAAAACCACUAUUUUUGACACCAUUGAAAAAUGAGCUGUUAAACGGUAUGUCCGCAACAUAUGCAGGACCACUACCUUUUCAGGAAACAGAACCUUGUAUCCAAUCGAAUUUCAUUCAUUCAAACGUGAUUUAACAUUUAUCGGGUAUUUUCCGGAUAUAUGAUUAGAUUUCAUAUACAAAUCAUUCAAAUCAAUUCGAACAUAUAAUUACACAAUUAAGUUACACGAACUUACCUCGACAAUGUUCAUGAGUCGUAAUCUACCAAUCCGUUACUUUUCUUUACCUCGAUCUAGCUCCGUAUUUUGUCUUUUCGGAUCUAUACGAGUAAAUUAACUCAAUUUAAUACAAUUUCAUACUCAUUUCAAUCCAAUUUACAUCUUAGGAAAAAGUACCAUUUUGCCCCUAUACUUUUGAUUCAUUCCAAUUUCAUCCCUAGGCUCGAUAAAUGAAAUUCAUGCAAUUUAAUCCUUAUUCCAAGAUCAGUCAAAUUUUACAUGUAUCAAUAGCAGCCCAUGUAUUUCACAAAAAUUAGAAUUUUUCCAUGAAUUUUACUUUUUUACAAUUUAGUCCCUAAAUCACAUUUUCAUCAAAAUUCCUUUAAGAAAAGUUGUUUACCUAUCAACAACCUUUCAUUUUCUACCAUCAAAGUUCAUAAUUCAACUAUAUUCAUCCAUGGAAAAAUCCUAGAACUUUGAUAACUUUGCAAAUUAAUCCUCAAAAUAGCUUAAUUAUGCUAUUACAAUCUCAGAAACAUAAAAAUUACUAAAAACGGGACAAGAAUUCAUACCUAAUUAAGCCAAGAAAGCUUGAUUGAGAUAUUUUCUCUUAGCUAGGGUUUCCAUAAAAAAAUUUGGGAAAGGUGAUGAUAAAUGAUGAUAUUUUCUUUAUUUAAUCAUUUAUCAUCUUUUAAUAUCUUUUAUUUCCAAUUUCAUCCUUUUCUUUAAUUAAAUUUCCAUGAAUGAAUCAUCAUCCUUAUCUAUUAACUUCUCUUAAUGGUCUAUUUGUCAUAUAAGGACCUCAAACUUUGAAUUUCAUAGCUAUUUGAUACUUAUAGCUACUAGAACCCAACUUUUGCAUUUCAUGGAAUUUGGUCCUUUUAUCAAUUAAACAUGUAAUCGGUAAAAUUUUCUUAACAAAAUUUUCAUACGAUUUUCUUAUUAUAAUUUAGACCAUGAAAUAAAAUUAUAAUAAUUUUCUUUUCGUAUUCAAAUUUGUGGUCCCGAAACCACUGUUCUGAUUUCACUGAAAAUGGGUUGUUACACUAUUAAAGUGUUAGGGUUUUUCCAUGGAUGAGUACAGUUUAAUUAUGAAGUUUUAUGGUAGAAAAAUGAAAGAUUGUUGAUAGAUAAACAACUUUUCGAAAGAGAAUUUUGAUGAAAUUAUGAUUUAGGGACUGAAUUGAAAAAAUGAGAAAUUUAUGGAAAAUUUUUAAAUUUUGUUAAAUACAUGGGCUUCUAUGGAUAUGUAUGAAAAUUAAUUAGGCUUGAAAUAAGGAUUAAAUUGCAUGAAUUUCAUUUUUUGAGCUUAGAGAUAAUUGUAAUUAAUUAAAAGUAUAGGAGCAAAAUAGUAAUUUUGCCAAAGAUGUGUACUAGAUUGAAUUGAAUAUGAAUGAUAUUAAAUUGAGUUAAAUUCAUUCGUACAAAUCCGAAUAGACCUAAUACGGAGUUAGAUCGAGGAAAAGAAAAAGUAUUAGAUUAGUAGCCUACGAAAUUGUGAACAUUUGUCGAGGUAAGUUCAUGUAAUUAAAUUGUAUAUUUGUAUUAUUUGAAUUGAAUAUUGUUGUGUGUGUGAUUUUUAUAAAAAGCCAUAUAUAUUAUUGAUCACAUAUUCGACAAGUACAGAAUCCCGUUUGAACCUUAGACAUUCAAUGGAUACAAAUGAUAUGUCAUUAGGUUUCCGGAUUGGUUGUGGUCCUACAUGUGUUGCGGACACACCACAGCUCUUAUGAGCAUCCCGAUAUUUGGCUCUCACGAGCUUCCGAUUAAUGGCUCUUAUGAGCUUCCCGAUAUACAGCUCGAUUGAGCUUCCUGUUAUACAGCUCACAUGAGCUUCUCGUUACAUGGCUCAAAAGAGUUUCCCGUGUACAUGCUCGUAUAAGCAUACCUGUAUAUGAAUUGAUGGAUUACAUAUUUGUACACCUCGUUUGUAUUACCCGUGUAUCCAAUGAUAUUUUAAAUGGUUCAACGGGCUAAGUUUUGAUUUGAGAUAAUAUAAGUUUGAAACGAACUAUUACCCAUGUAUACAUGAAGUACAUAGAAAUGAUAUUACUUGAUAUACUGAAGCAUGAAAUGAUUGUUACAUGUAUGUGAAACUUGCUUGAUGACUUUGUUCAUCCAUGAUGAUGGGCUAUUAUAUGUGUUUAGGCUUUUGUCCAAGUUGAUUUGAAAUAUGUUUUGUAUGCUUACCUUAAAUGUAAUUGAAUGGUAAGUUAAGUUGUUAUACGAACUUACUAAGCGUAAAUGCUUACUCUAUUUUAUUUUCCCUGUUUUAUAGUAACUUGGAAGCUCGUUUUGGUUGGAAGUUGGUCAGAGGUGAUUCGCACUAUCCAUAGGCCUUUUUGGUACAUAUAGUAAACUAAUUUUGGUUAUAAUGGCAUGUAUAAGUUAAUUUGGCCAAUGUUGGCAUAAAAUUAUCUUGUUUAGACUAGCCAUUAGAGUGGCUUGUGUUUGAUAUAUUUUGAGAUGUAUAUAUAUGGCCUUAUCAUGAUUAAUGUGUGUUUGGUAUGGUUGAGUGAUGAAUAAUUUAUAGGCAUAUUGAAGAUUGGUUUGAGAUAGUAUGUUUGGUACAAAUUUGCAUAUAUGUGUAUUUUGUUAAUUUGGUAAGUUUGGAUACUUGGAUAUAUGUGUUGAAAUGUCAUGUAUAAAACUUGAUUUUGGCUUGAUUUGAAUGUCUUGUUAUGGUUUGUUGAUGUCAAAAAAUGUUGAGAUGGGUUGAUGACAAAUUGGGUGAGAAAUGUGGCUUGAAAAUGACUUAUUUUUGUCCACACGGGCAGAGACACAGGCGUGUGUCUCAGCCGUGUCAGGUGACACGGUCGUGUGUCCCCUGUAUCUUUUAAAUUUUGCAAGUCAGUAUGCUCACACGGCCUAGCACACAAGCGUGUGGUUUGGUCGUGUGACCUCAGUCAGAGAGUUACAAGGGCACGGACACGGCUGUGUGUCCCUAUUUCGAAUGCCUACACGGCCUGAGACACGGAUGUGUCUCUUGACCGUGUAAACGACACGGCUUAGCCACACGGACGUGUGUCCCCUGUACCUUUGAAAAAUUUUAAUAUUUUUCAAAAAAUUCUUUGAAUACCCGAAUUAGUCCUGACUUGUUUCUAAUGUAUGUUUUGGGCCUCGAGGGCUCACAUAAGGGAACAUUAUGCUUGAUUUCGAUUGGUUUUUGAUAUGAAUGCUAUAUGAUAUGAAAUAUCUAUUUAUUUGUUCUGUAAAUUUCGGUAAUGCUCUGUAACCCUGUUCCGGCGACGGAUACGGGUUAGGGGUGUUACAGAAUAGGCCAAGUAUGGGAGAUGAUUCAUCAAAGAAUGGUUUGGAAUAUUCAAACGGUGAAAAUUUUAAUUUUUGGAGGGAUGCAUGGAUGGUUGAUGUAACAGCCAGAUUUUUAGUGAUGUCAGAAAUAGUGGUUCGAGGCCCCUAAAUCUGCGAGUAAGUUUGUAAAUAUUAUUAUUUAAUAUUUACGAGUCAAAUAUGAUUUUUAAUAAAAAAGAUGCAUUCUCAAGACUUCGUUCCGGUAAAUCAGAUUCGUAAAUAUUUUUAAUAAAUAUGUACAAAGCUAGCUGUGUAGUUAAUUAUGUUUUGAUUAGGUGAGUUUGACUUAAUUAAGGUUAAUUAGAUAAAAGGACUAAAUUAAAUUGAUUGUGAAAGUUUAAUUAUGAAAUAAAAAAAUCAAGGGACUAAAUUAGUAAAUAAACCAAAAAUGUGACACUUGUGUGGUAAUAAUAAAAUACAUGUGUAAUAAAAUAUAUACAUACAUUUGUAAUAAUAUGUAUAAUUUACUUAUUAUUUAAGUAUAAGAUAUUUUAGAUUAAAAUAUUUUUAUAUUAUAUUAUUAUAUUACAUUAAUUAAUCAAAACAAAAUAAAGAAAUGAAAUAAAAAGAACAAAGGAAAGAAACAGAGAAGCAAAACGAAAACAGGGGAGAAAGGAAAGAAAAAGAAAAAAAGGGAAUGAAAGAAAGAAAAUUUGGGAUUUUAAGGUUCAAGGUUUGGUUGGUAAGCUAAUUUAGUCUAUUUUUUUAUAAUUUUGAUGUUUUUGGAAUCCCAGAACAAAAUACUAUUUGAUUUAAGUUGAAAAUUUGAAAGUUAGUAAAUUUUUAGAUGUUGUUCAUGUUGAAUUAAUUGAUGAAUUAGGGGUUAAAUUGAUUGAAUUUUUUAAAUUAGUUUAAAGUGGGAAUGGAAUGAAAAUAUGAAAUUAGUUUUCAGAAUAAAAGUUAGUCUUGGUUCAGCGACUAAAUUGGAAUUUUGACAAAUAUUGAGUAAAUAUUAAAAUAUUUAAUGUGAGAUUGAAUGGUGUUGUAUUGAUAUUUUUAAUUGUUUUAAUUCCGUAGCUUGCGACGUACUGGAAUUCUCGACUAAAAGGGGAAAAAAUAUAGUCGACGAGGAAUAAUUCAGAAAUCUUGUUUUGUAUUUCUAUAAUCCGAAUCUAAUUAUUAAUUGUUGUAUUUUGAUUAAAUGUUAUAGUAAGUGAUUGAGGUGAGAAUUAUUGUGGUUUACAAUUGAAAUGGAUUGUCUUGGUAUGUAAUGAAAUUAUAUUGGUUGAAUUGAAUUUGAAUAUAUAUAUUAUGAAUAUAUAUGUGUAAAUGUGAAAUUGUGCAAAUAUGAUAAUUGGAUUAUUAUAUAUAUAUAAAAUUCAGUUUUAAUGCCCAAGUAGACGGAAUUUAGAACUACUGGGAUAUUAGUGGCAUGUCAUUAAAGAACUUUAGCGCACUCUCUUAUUAUUAGCACGUUGGUGCUCUCUGAUUACUAGCACGACAGUGCUUUCCGUUUAGCACAUCUGUGCUCUCUGUUCAUUAGUGCAUAAUAAUGCACCUCUGUAUUUGUUCCGUAUAUCCGGUGUGUUCUAUAAAAUCUACUUUGGGAUAAGAAUAUGAGAUAGUAAACUGAAAAUAGAAUGUGAAAUAUGUUUUAAACACAUGGAAGACACGAGUUAUAUAUUCAUAAAUUGAUUGUGGAAUGGAUAGUGCCAUUGUUUAAAUGAUACGUGAAUAAAUGAUGGAAAUGUAUUACAUAUAGCAAGUGAUGACAAUUGAGUAUUGUGUGAUUUUAAAUGUUCAAUUGUGUUUAACAUUUUAUUAUACAUAUUUUAUUGUUUUAUUUUUUUAAAAAAAUUUGGAUUAUAGAAAUACCACUGAGUUUUUACUCAGCGUACGGUUUUGUUUUCCGUGCGCAGGUUAAGUACUUAAGUUUGAUCGCUGAUUCAGCAUCCAACAAUGAUCCCGAACUCAAAUAUGGUGAUGUUUAUUUCUUUGUGUCGGCAUGUACCUAGAGUGUCUAAAUAUUAGUUAUUUUGUAGUUUGAUUGUAAAUGAAGUUAUAAGAUCUAUUUUGGAGAGUUUAUAAUUUGGAUUAAAAUGAUGCUUUAAUGACUUGUUUUGAUGAUAUAAAAUAUUUGAGAUUUCUAUCUGUUUGAUCUAUAAUCUCCGGUAAUGUUCCAUAACCCAAUUCCGACGAGGGAUACAGGUUGAGGGUGUUACAGUUGACAUUAGACCACUAAUUGAUUAAUUGGGUUGAUAAGAGGAAUAGUGCCAGAAUCAUAUAUGGGUCAGUGGCUUCAAUGGUUACACCAAAUGGUGAUUGAAAUUGGAGUUUAUUGGAAAAUGCUUUACCAUGUAAUAUUUUGCUUAAAUUAGCAAUAAUGCUUUCGCCGGACAAGGGGGCAAUGUAGAUUAUUUGGCUUGGAGAUAGGAUGCUAAUAGGAGAUUCACUAUCAAAUUGACCUACUCAAUGGCGUCAAAUAAUUUAAUGGAAGGGUGCAAGAAUGGUGGAAACCAGUAUGGCAUUUCAGAGAACCCUAAAGAAUUCGAAUUUUCUUAUGAUUAAUGUGCUUGAAUAAAUUGUUAACAAACAAUGAAAAGAAGAAAAAGCAUAUGAUCAUUCAGGUGUGAUGUGUGCAAAAUCAAUUUAUUUUCUAAUAUAAUAUUAGAUAUAGAUGCAAUAUCUAUAAAAGAAACUAUAUAUUAAAUUUUAUGUUCAUAUAAAAAAUAAAUAUGAUAAGAACAUAGACCUAAAAAUUAAUAUAUAAUAAAUUAUAAAACAAUUUACUACAUUUAUUAUUAGUAUUUAACAACAAUGAAGGUAAAAAGAAAUUACUUAAUUAAUCUCUCGUACUAAUAGCAUCCUUGAAUUUAGUGCGUCGUGAUUAUGGGACAAAUCCAUCCAUCUUGGAUUGGAUAACCCCCCCCCCCCAACACAUCAACAAAAUUUGUUGGAAAAAGAUAAAAUGAAAAGUGGGCAUGGCAUGCAGUGCACGUGAUAUUUAAAAUGUUAAAUUUACUAACGUGGCGUAUAUUUAAACUAGAUCUCACGGUUAUCAACUCACCUCGUUUUCGCUUCCUACCAUUUUUAUUACAUUUUCACGAAUCUGUAAUUUUAACUAAUUUUCCUCCAUCUUCUUCAAUGAUUAUGUAAAAGCCUGCAAAAUCUCAGUUGUCCAGUACAAUGGCUACCCUCUCCUUUUCUCCCCUCAAACCAAACACGUUAUUUUCUUCUUUUCUGUUCCCUUCUAAAAACUUAUCCUCCCGACCAAUUAUCUAUACUCUUCCUCAUCGAAACACUCCUCCACUCACUUUCUCUGCUGCCAAACGCCCUCCCGCCGCAUCCGCAACCAAUUCAUCCUCUUCCGUUACCGUCGAAACCGUCUCUCCUGAAAAUGACGCCAACUCAACCGUUUUCGUCAUCCGUGCGCGUAACCGUACCGGUCUCCUCCAAGUUAUCACGCGCGUCUUCAAUAUCCUCGGUCUUAGCGUCGAGAAGGCCACCGUAGAUUUUGAAGAAGACUAUUUUGUCAUGACGUUCUUCGUAACCGAUUCCCGCGGCAACAAGAUCGAUGAUCAGAAGAGCUUGGAAAGUAUCAACAAGGCCUUGAUCGACGCAAUCGACGGUGACGAUGAUGCCGCCUUGUCUGUGGCUCCGCCAGAUAGAGGGGUCGUGGUAAGGAAGCCUCGGUUGGAUUUUGGGGAGAGGAAAGGCCAAGCUGAAAGGAUGCUUGGAUUGAUGGAUGUUUUCUUGAAGAACGACCCGAUCAGCUUACAAAAGGAUAUUUUACAUCACGUUGAGUACACGGUGGCUCGAUCGCGAUUUAGUUUCGAUGAUUUUGAAGCUUAUCAAGUAAGAUUAAAGUUUCGUUGUUGGGUUGAGAACGAAUUUUGACUUCCUUUUUAAAAAUUUGGCGGGAAUGUAUGGUAUAACUUAAGUGCGAUUGUUUAACAGGCUUUGGCGCACAGCGUAAGAGAUCGGUUGAUUGAACGUUGGCAUGAUACUCUGAUACAUUUCAAGAAGGAAGACCCAAAGCGAGUUUACUUUCUUUCGCUUGAGUUUCUUAUGGGUAUACUUUCUUACCGUUAUGAGCCUUAUAAUGUUUGGUCUAAUUAAAAUGAUGGAUAAGUUUAAGAGCUCUCGAGAAGUUUGGUUAUGCUUUCUGUUACUCUCCUAGCACCUAUAGUUUAUCAAAUCUAGAGGAUCUGACUUUGGUUUCUAUUACAAGUAGAACUAGUUUUUGAAUUCACAUGUUAUUCUGGAUUUUCUUCAGUGCUUUAAAUAUCAUUCAUGCUAAACAACUGUAUGCAAUUUAUAUUUUCAGGGCGUUCGUUGUCAAAUAUUGUCAUCAACCUUGGAAUUCGCGACCAAUUUGCAGAUGCUUUAAGCCAGCUUGGUUUUGAUUUUGAAGUUUUAGCUGAACAGGUUAACUUGACAUUCGAUUUUCUUCUGUCCUCCUUUAUUGUCCUAAUCUUAGAUUAUUAUUAUUAGCAUAUCACGAUCCGGAAAAGUAAUUGUUUGUUUGCGAGGAGAAUUGAAUACAUCAAGUAUAUUUAUUGGAGAUCAUGUUGUGUGGUAGUCGGAGAUUUGAAACUAGGUGAAUCCAAUGGAUGGCCAUAUUCUUGGGAACCUAGAGCCACAAAACUGUAUGAUGUUAAGGUGUGCUCGUCCUUUCGAAACAGCCUCUCCUUGGAAUUAGAGCUCGAGGGAGAUCUCUGUUUGAACAAGUUAAAACUGAAUUCUUAAUCAUGUUGGAAGAAAGCUUUUCUUAUAUAUAUAUUGUACACUCAGAUAAUUAUUUACUUUCCUCUUUAUCUUAUUCAUUAUGAUAUUCUAAGGAAGGAGAUGCUUGCCUGGGUAAUGGAGGCCUUGCUCGUCUUUCAGCAUGUCAAAUGGAUUCUCUAGCAACUUUGGACUACCCUGCAGUGGGGUAUGCCUCUAUUCUAUAUUUUUCUUGUAAGAUUUGUGGAAGCAUUUCAAGUUAAAAGUAAUACAUAUAAGUCUUCCAUUAAGUAGGGGUACUGAAUCAUUAUCCAUACUGGCUUUGAAACCAAAAUGGAUUAUGGACCGUGAAGUUGACUGCUUAUCUUCUAAUUAGUAUUAGCUUAUUUAUAAUCUAUGCUAGUUUUCCUUUUUCAAAAUCAUUUAGCGAAUUCUUGCAUCAAAAUCAUGUCAUUUAGUUCAUGCAUAACUUGUAUAUCCUCAAACGAGUAUUGGCUUUUAUGUUUAAUAAUCUAAUUCUAGGGGAUUGUUUCUGCAGCUAUGGAUUACGCUACCAGUAUGGGUUGUUCCGUCAAGUUAUAGUGGAUGGAUUUCAACAUGAACAGCCUGAUUAUUGGUUAAAUUUUGGAAACCCUUGGGAGAUUGAGCGAGUUCACAUAACAUAUCCUGUAAAGGUUUGUAAGCACUUAGAUGUGUUCAAUUAUCUGUGGGAAUAUUGGAUGUUUGACUUUAUCUUUCUAUUCUUUUGCAAUUCUGUAUUGUUUACUAAACUUCUGUUCACUAUGUUUUUGGAUGGUAAAGUUCUAUGGGACGGUCACAGAUGAAUUUUUGAAUGGAGAGAAAUGUAAAGUUUGGGUUCCUGGAGAAAUGGUAAGGCUGUAAUUCUUUUCAUAAAUUGAAGCCUAGACAUUUGCAUAAAACUCUUUAUCCAUUAUUUAUACUCAUGGGCGAUGCAUGAUUUAAAUGAGUGCUAAAUUUAAGUGAAUGUGGUUGGCUUUUUUUAGCUUAGCAAUAUCUUCAUAUUCGUAGGUUGAAGCUGUGGCAUAUGACAAUCCAAUACCUGGUUAUGGAACAAGGAAUACCAUUAAUCUUCGCCUUUGGGCUGCGAAACCAAGUGAUCAACAUGAUAUGGUAAUUUCGACAAAGUCCAAUCAGUUAUGCAUGAGUUCUAUGCACACUUAGGUGGAUUAAACUAAAGUACGAAGAUCUGGCACAUAAAACUAAUUCUUAUGAUCUAGAUUCGCUAGAAAUGCUAUAGUUGGACUGAGCUAACAAUGCUGAUUUGGUAGCUUAAAACAUAGUCAUAUAUGCAAUCAUGUGUUUUUUUCUGUACGGAUCUCUUCUAUAUCCUACCCAUCAAGCUCUGCUUAGACAGCGAGGGAUUUGGAAAUCUUUUUGAAUAAUUUCUUUCAAUUGUUUUGGCUUAAUUGUUUUGAAACAUGCUUAAUCCAACUGAAGUGAUAUCAGUUAUUUGCUGUUUCAAUGUGCUUGUUUCUUUUAUCUUUCUUUUCUUUUUUUUUUCUUUAUUUCACUAUUUGCAUUUUGGAGAAUUAUAUUUUGGUGAGAGCUUAUGUUAGUAAGGUUAGCAUCUAUCCUGUCUUGUAUAGUCUUUGAGGCAGGUAUUUGAUGUCGGUUCUAGAAAGAUUUGUUAAUUAGUAAGAAUUUUGUAUAUUUCAGGUAUUUUGUUACUUUUAGUUUUAGAGACUUUAAUUUUUUGUAGGUGUUAUUUUGGAAAAUUCUUUAAGAUUCUGAUUUUUGGUUUUGUAUGAUAUUUAUUGCCAUACAUGCUUAUGGAUUCUUGUUAGUAUGCGACCUUGUUAUGUCUCAAAUUCUUGGGUUUGGAGCAUGGCAAUGCAGGAGUCUUUUAACACUGGGGAUUAUGUUGAUGCUGUAGUCAAUAGACAGAGGGCAGAAAGUAUUAGUAGCAUACUAUACCCCGACGAUCGUUCUUAUCAGGUGUGAUUGCUUUUCCUUAACUUGAUUGGUUACAUCAAGAUUAGAGUCUGCCUCAUCAAUUUUUUCAUGCUUCGUCUUCUAAAGUUUUUACUGCAAUUGUUUGAUUUAUGGGAAAUUAAAGGUACUUAGUCGGAGAUUAUUAAUGUUGCAUUCACUGAAAACUUGGUUGAAAUGUUUGCUAGGGGUUGAACAAAUAUGUUUCUUUGUCUUUCUGUAGAUCUACAUUCAUAUUUCUUUUUGGUGGUUUCUUUCAGGGUAAAGAAUUGCGGUUGAAACAGCAAUAUUUCUUUGUAUCCGCGUCAGUACAAGACAUCUUCAGAAGAUUCAAAGACACUCAUAAAAAAUUUGAUGAGUUUCCAGAGAAGGUUCUUAGCUGCAUGUUUCAUGUGUCUAUUAGUGCAGAAGCAUAUGUAGAGACACCUCAAAUCGGAUUAGUUUGUACUGAUCUGAUCAUGUAGUGAGGUGACAUGCCUUGGUUCUACCCUCCUGAAUCUUGUGUAACAUAGCUGUUCUCAAGGUUCUCUCAGGUUCUCAAUGUCACAUCCUUAACAAUUGAUUUGCUUUCAGAUGAUGGCAGUUGUGAGAUUUGAGUGAGGAAUCUUUCUCUAUACUGAGAAGGAUUUCUUUCCACUUUUAUUAUCAUCCCUAGGUUGAGUGCUGACUGCUGCUUGACUCCUGUUCUGUCAACUCCAAUUGCAUUUUAUAUAGGUUGCACUGCAGCUGAAUGACACUCAUCCAUCUCUUGCAAUAGCUGAGGUGAUGAGAGUGCUUCUGGAUGAAGAGCAUUUAAGCUGGCAUAGAGCAUGGGACAUCAUAUGCAAAAUAUUUUCGUUCACAACUCAUACUGUAUCACCUGAAGGACUGGAGAAAAUUCCUGUGGAUCUACUGGGCAACCUUCUCCCUCGACAUUUGCAGGUGUGUUUUGUUUGAAUUUUGCAAUGUACUUUCUUCUUUGAUAAAGUUUACCCGUUUCUUUGAAUUACUUUAUGUGAUUGAAAGCCUAAGUAAUUCUACUGGACAAGAUUCAUCUUACAAUAUUCUUUCAUUUAUAUCUGAUGUCAUAUGGUAUAAGCUUCAUCUUAAUAAUUUUCUUAACUACAGCAUCGUGCCUCCAAGGUACAGAAGCAUGCAUGUGGUUAAUUAUUAUUUUCCGCAUAACUCUUUCCUGUAUUACCACACUCCUUUAGAUUGUAAUUUAUUAGUUUGAUUGGUUGUCAACUUGUUUCGUACUAUUUUAGAAAAUUGCUCUUUUCAGAUUAUAUAUGACAUAAACUUCAACUUUGUGGAAGAGUUAAAGAAGAUGAUUGGUUUAGAUUAUGAUCGGCUGACCAGGAUGUCAAUUGUUGAGGAAGGUGCUGUGAAGGUAUAUAUCUCAAAUUUUAUGGGUUUCUAAAAUUUAUAUUGUGUUGAUGGAUUGCUAGAAUGUUAUGAAAAUUGAAGUCCAUAACCAUCCCUUUUGUCAGAAUAUUCGAAUGGCAAAUCUAUCAGUUAUUUGUUCUCAUACCGUGAAUGGUGUCUCCAGAUUACAUUCAGAGUUGUUGAGAACAAAAUUAUUCAAGGUAAAACUUAUAUUUGUUUUUUCCUGCUUAAACGUUGCCUUUCCUUGUAACAAGUUUGAAAUAGAACUCAGCUUCGAUGAAUGUCUUUAAUUAGUUGAUCUUAGUUGUUGUCUAUUAAUGCUUUUCAGGACUUUUAUGACCUAUGGCCGCACAAGUUUCAAUACAAAACUAAUGGGGUGACACAGGUUUAAAAUAAGUAACAGUUUUUUCAGUACAUUAACUUACUGAUAGGUUAAGUUGUUUCCUACCUGUAAAUAAAUUUUAGACUUGUUACUGUGAUGCUGUGAUGCAUCUUGCCCUGAUAACUAAAAGUACGCGAAUAAUUUAAAUUCACCUGCUGUGUAGUUAUUUUGAUCUCUUAAUAUUUGGUUUCUCAGCGUCGCUGGAUUGUUGUUAGCAAUCCUAGUUUAUGCGCUCUUAUCUCAAAAUGGCUUGGAACAGAAGCUUGGAUCCGUGAUAUUGACCUUUUAAUAGGCUUGAGAGACUAUGCAACUAAUGCUGAAUUGCAUCAAGAAUGGAAGAUGGUACUUUCAUAGUUGGCAUGCUUCACCUUUGAAACAAAACAUAUCAUUGGCUAUCUCAUUCAUUUAUUGUUAACUAUUAUCUCAUAGGUUAAGAAGGUCAACAAAAUAAGGCUUGCCGAGUACAUUGAAGCGAUGAGUGGUUUGAAGGUUUUGAAGAAAGCUAUAGUUUUUGCACCUACAUUUCUUUUUCCAUUUUUAAGGAGCUCUGAAAUGAUGUAAUGUUGGUGUGCAUUAUUUGUAAUGGGCAGGUCAGCUUGGAUGCAAUGUUUGAUGUGCAGACAAAGCGAAUACAUGAAUAUAAGCGGCAGUUGCUUAAUAUACUUGGCAUUAUCCAUAGAUAUGAUUGCAUCAAGGUUAACACCAUCUUUGGCUGAAAGAGCCAUGAAAACUUGUGGAAUUUAUCAAAUGCUUCUUUUUAUAUGCGCCUUUUUGAAUUGUCCGUGUAGCAAACUAACAACAUAGGUUUAAGUUAUUACCAUCCUGUUGCUGGAUGUUUGCAAGACCAACAAUUCCUUACUCAUUGUAAUAUGAGUUGAUUAACCAUUUCCUUAACCAUCAUCUUUUUGGCUUUGCAUAAAGAUGUUUAAGUAUUAGAAAUUGUACAUAUUUUCGAACAUUGUAAAAUAAGUUAAAAGAAUGUGUAACUCAGAGGUAUCUUUGCUCAUGCUAUUCUCAUUUGGUGCAGAAUAUGGACAAGAAUGAUAGGAAAAAUGUUGUACCACGGGUCUGCAUAAUUGGAGGAAAAGCUGCUCCAGGAUAUGAAAUUGCAAAGAAGAUUAUAAAACUCUGUCAUGUUGUGGCUGAAAGAAUCAACAAUGAUAAUGAUAUUGGAGAUCUUUUAAAGUUGGUAAGCUAGUAUUUAUUUUAUCUAGAAGUUCAAUGGAACUCUGAAGCGUGUAUUGUUUACUCAGAAGGGUGAGUAAUUUACCCUUAAAACAGAUAUAAUCAGCAACCAUGAUGAUGAAUUAAAGCUGCAAGGACCUUUAUAUUUGUCUUCUAAUAACAAAUCUGUCUUUCUAAGUCAUUAAGUAUUAUUGCAGGUCUUUAUCCCUGAUUACAAUGUUUCUGUUGCUGAGAUGGUAAUACCAGGGGCUGACCUUUCUCAACAUCUAAGGUAGUAUGCAUAAGUUUUGCACAUUAGAUGAUAUUAUCAAUUUCGUUAGCAGUUACAUUAUGUUUUGUAGUGAUUGCUGAUUGGGAUUUUUCUGUGGUCAACUAUUGGCUUCACUUAUAUAGAUAGAUCUAUUUGUCACUCUAAAGUUGUAUGCCUCCAUUUUACCAUUAAUUUGGGUCGAAAUAUUUUGGAAUCUUUUAGUAUUAAUUGUCAUUAAGCUUAUGUAUGAGCAGUUCAGAAUCACUAGGUUGAUGGAAUAAUAUAAUAUAAUAUAAUAUCCAGGUGAUUAAUUGGGGCAGAAUUAGUCUCUCCACAUUCUGAGCCCCGUUUUCCAGAAUUAAAAAAAAAAAAACCUGCUUCCACUCAACUUGUCUACUUCUGAUGUAUACUUCUUUUACUUUCUGAUCCAGCACUGCAGGACAUGAGGCAUCAGGAACUGGCAGCAUGAAAUUCUUGAUGAACGGAUGUUUACUUUUAGCCACAGCAGACGGUUCUACAAUUGAAAUGGUUGAAGAAAUAGGUCAGGAUAACAUGGUAAGUGCUAAAUCAACAGUCAUACAAAUGAAUCAAGGUAAAAGUACCAUGAAGUCCUCUAUAUUAGGAGUCAGAUUGUAUUUUACCUCCUCUACUCAAGAAAUGAGCAAAUUAGUCACUCUACAUUAGAUCAAAGAGCAAACUGGUCCUUUUAUAGAAAAUUUCAUCCAUUUUUGCUGUUAAAAGUUGGUCUCUGUACGUUAGCAUGAGGUACACAUGGCAUGUCACAUGUCACUGUCUAGUUAUUUCAUCAAUCAUGCCAGUUUUUAAUAGUACAAAAGAAUGAAAUUUUUAAUAGAAAGGACCAAUUUGCUCUUUAAUCUAAUGUAUAGGGACUGGUUUGCCUAUUUUUUUAGUAGAGGAGGCGAAAUGCAAUCCAACUCUUAGUACAAGAGCCUCCAUGGUACUUUUACAAUGAAUUAACAAUAUUAGUUGGAGUAGAUUUUGAUAACAUUUCUUUCAGUUCCUGUUUGGAGCAAAAGCGCAUGAAGUUGUUGCAUUGCGCAAGAAAGGACCCACUCUUAAAGUUCCUCUUCAGUUUUCGCGUGUUGUAAGGUAUUAUACCCCUUCAUUCUACGUAAUGUAUAGCUUUAUCAGUACGUUGCAUCUUAGUUUCUCUGUAAAGGAGAGUAUAUGUAUCCUUGCUUUUCUUAUACAGAGGUAGAGUUGAUUUAGAUAUUAUUGGUUUAAAUUUCAAGUGAUUUGAGUGGCAUUGUGUAACUAUUAUAUGUAGGAUGAUCCGAGAUGGUCAUUUUGGAUUUGAAGACUAUUUCAAAUCUUUGUGCGACAAGAUAGAGGGCACGAGUGACUAUUUUCUUCUUGGUGCCGAUUUUAUGAGCUAUCUAGAGGCCCAGGUAAAUAGUUGGUUUUCCAUCAGUUAGAAAUAAGAAUGCCUUGUAAAAGGGAAUUGCAUUUUAAUUGUGGACUGUGUUGAGAUGAACAGGCAGCCGCCGAUAAAGCGUUCGUUGAUGAAGAGAGAUGGACAAAAAUGAGUAUACUUAGCGCAGCUGGCUCUGGGAGAUUUAGCAGUGAUAGGACAAUCCAAGAGUAUGCUGAAAACACUUGGGACAUUCAACCUUGCAGAUGUCCCUUUUGAUUUGGGAAGUGAGAGCUACUCGAAAUAGAAUGAAGCUCUCGCAAUGUCAUGUGCGGGGCUUCUCUAUUUAUUAAUAAAAUAAAACGAAUUGAAUCGAAUAAAAUUACAAUGAAUAAUAACAAUGUUUCUAAAACUAAUAAUAGAAAAUAAUCAAAGCAUUCAAAAAUAUUUGAGUUGGAGCUUGACAUAAAUAUUGUUGUUGAUAGGACCUUAUAAAUGUUUAUUUAAAAAAAUUCAGACGGAAACCUAUUGCAAACUUUUUUGCCCAUUUCAAACAAUUUUGAUUUUGGACGAAUUAUAAUAAUUUCUUCUCUUUUCCUUUACCAGAAAGAUAUACCUUGUCUUUUUCGUAAAUAGAAUUAACUUUAUUCAACUGAUUUUUGUUUGGUUGUUCAUACUUCAUGAAAUAACAAUUUUCUCCUGGAUUCUACAAGCUUCGAUUACCCGCCACUAUUUCUGUUUACUUCUUCCGAGAAGAAAAAAGGAGGAAAGAUAGAAAAAAAAAAAAAGGUUGUUUAGAAGAGGCAGUAAUGGCGGUUAAUAUGAUUCUCCUUCCCUCCAUUUUCAGUUUUUUCUUCUUCCUCUUCUUCUUCUUCUUCUUCUUGUCACUCACAUCUCAAGAUGAACAAAGUAACAACCACAAUCUCUUGAUCCUUGAAUUGCGCGACUCCAAGCUCAAGAUCUCUCGUUUGGGUAAAAUUUCUUUUUUAUUUCUUCAUUGAUAAAUAAAUACCUUACUUAGAGUUUCCAAACAAACACUGAUCUUAACCUCGAUUCCUUGACUAUUGUAAAAUAUGGAUGCAGAAUCUGUUCUUGAAGAAAGAAUUCAAAACCUUAAUGCUAAAACCCUUUCUGUUAAGGAACACGGGAAAUCCCUCGAGGACAUGGCAAACAAGAGCACUUAUCUGCAGUCUGCUCUAUUUGAUCUUAAGGUUCAAUUCUUUCCUAAGAAGCUUUGCUUUUGUUUUUAGCUUUGUUUUCAUUUGUAUGUUACUCGGGUUUAUUUGGAUUGAAUGUCUUCUCCCUAUUGAUGUCUCAAAAUGAAAAAAAAAAAGGGGGGGGGGCUGCUUUUGAAAGCAGAAAAUUGAAUUGUGGUACGGUUUAUUCACUUAGUAAUCUUGUUCCAAAAAUACAUAGCAUAUUGACAUGUGAUUUUGCAAUUUCUAAAUGUAUAUAGCAUAUUGACAUGUUAUUUUGCAAUUUCUAAAUUGUAGGAUUAUUCAUUUCUUGCUGAUGAAAAAAGCUUAACGCUCUGGAAGAGGAGGUUCGUUUUAAAUGCUUCUAUAAAUAUAAUCGCUCUUUCAAACUUUUUUUCGUCCUAUUUGAUUCCUUGUCAUGUUUGUACGGGUGAGUGGCAAGAAAUAUUUGCUUUAGUGCAAUUCAACUUAGUACCAGGCUUCAUGAUCCUAGGUACACGGCCUUUGGGCUGUUUCGAGAAAGAACAAUUUUGAUCUUCAUGUUUUAGAGUUGAAAGCACAGGACGCCGAGGAUAGACUGGAAGCUGUUACUUCAUAAGUUGGAAAGGUUAGCAUUUACAUUCGUUAAUUUUGUUUCUGUAUAGAGACUCUGCUUGUAAAUGAUGAGGGCUUCGUCUUUGUUUUUUUUUUUUUUGGGGUACUAUUAUAAUAUGAGGUGAACCCUAAACCCUGGGGUGUCAACAAGAGAGCAUCAAUCACUGCUCCAAGGGGAUGUUGGUGAGGGGUUUUUCUUGUUUGUCAUACACCAUGACCAUCUAAUGCUGAAUGACUAAGCAUUUCUUCAUAUUAUAACGUUAUAUAAUCUAUAAUAAACUUUAAUGCCUCGUUUAGUUAUCUAGUGUAUUAACACAAGGAAAAGCUUACUACAUAAGUAUUAAAGUAGUUUGUCAUAACAUAUAGUGUAUAUUUAAACUUGAAAUUAGAAAGAUAAGUAGAACUCUAGUAAAAAAUAGGACCUCUUCAAAAUAAGAAAAAAAAAUUCUUUCUCAUUGCUCAAAACAAGUUGUGCUAGUGGUUAAAAAUUACCAUCUGAAGUUAGUUAGUUUGUAACUCAUGUACUAAGACAUGAAGAAAUAAUAUUCCUACCGAACGUAGCAUAAGAGUUUCAUCAAUAACUGCAAGAAUGCUUUAAGCACCUAUUUGCUGCUGUUCCAAUUAUUGAAGUUUGUGUUGCCUCAUUUCUAGAUUUAAAUAUCCUUGUUGGGUUGGGAGAGGUUUUGUUGGGUUGGUCAUCAGGUAUUAUGCUUUAGGUACCAGUCACUGGCUCAACGCUAAGCUGUAUUUCUUUAAAUGGAAGAGAAAUAUUAUAUCCUCAUAUUCUUUCUAAGUUGUUAAUGAAAAUGACCAUAUUUUAUCAGAACUCUUUCUUGGUUAUUUGAACUUUCUUUUGAUUGUUGAUGUGUAAAAGGCUUGAAAACUUGUUUAUUCCCUAUUGGUUUUAUUAUCUCUUGAUAUAACUAAUAUUGAAAUAAUUUGUAUUUUACUCACUCAAAGUUCCAUUCCCUUGCAUUUAGAUGGCAGAAGUUGUUACAGAACAAUGGGUUCAAAUUCAACAUCUUGAGCAGGCACUUCAAAUUGCUAAAGUAUGGUCUUAGGCCCUAAUGAUAUCAGUUAUUUGUUAAACUCAGGGAAAUUUGAAAGAAAAUGAAGAUAAAGGUUUUUCUCAUUAUAAUUAUCCUUUAUUUGCAUCAUUUCUUUGUGUUACAGAUGAGGGCAUUGCAAGCUCAAAAGCAAAGGAAUAUGAGAUGCACAUUCUUGAAGGUAAGAUAAUAAGUUGACAGUCUUUCAGACCUCUUCUUUUCCUCAGUCUCUGUCCCUUUAAAUUACUGUAAAUUUUAUCUUUGUAUAUCAAAGCAUCAGCAACAGUUAUAACUUUUAUAGUUCCUUUUAGUUAAGGAAAAAAUACUUUGUCAUAUGCUCGUGUUUCAUGUUAGUCAUAAGAUAAUCUAAUCUUGUAUGUGAAUAGUUCAUAGAUGGCAUUUCUGGAAGACAUCUCCCGAAGCCGUUCAAGGCCUUGGAUUCUUAUUCAUUGGGAAAAGGACCUAUCAUAAGAUACUACGUGUCUUAAGCUCUGCAACAAUUGAAAAGAUUUUACUCAGCAAUUAGAAGGUUUCACCCUGAGGUAUGUUUGAUACUGCAUGACUUUCUAGAUUCUUGUCUGAAAAAUAAUGGUGUCACUCUUGAAGGUCUUCACAUGUCAAAACUUACUUGACAUUACCUUUGUGAAGUUUCCAUUAAAAAAAAGUGGUCAAGAAACAUUUGAAUUUCAGUAUUGCGCUUGCCUCUAUCAACACCUCUUCCACUCUCCUUAGCAAUUUGACACAGAAGACUGUAAGAUAUAAUGGCUUCAAGAUUGCAGAAUCUCUUUCUUUUACUAAGUUCUGAAACUUAUUAUGGAAACUUUUGGUCUUUUCCAGCCUAAAAAAUGGAAAAUCGGUGGGUUGAUUGGUCAUGUAAAUAAGACCGAGUAUUCGUGGAAUUAUAGUUCUAUCAGCCAAGAAGAGUAUAUUAUGAACCUUAAACUAUGUACCUACAUAGACUUUGAACCUUAAUUGGCCCGUUAUCAGAUGUGAAUGUUGCCUUGAAUGAUAUUAACCAUACUUAACUUUUAUUACCAAGGCACUGAAAUUGCUUGUAAGAGAAGGAUAAUAAUUGUCUUGCACUUUCAACUUGAAAUUCUCUGCGUACAAUCAUCUCUGUUGGAUGUAUGCAGACAUGAAUUCUGCAAUCUUGUGCUUUAGUUCAGAAUAUUAUUUAGUAACAAUUCAAUUUCCUCCAAUGCACAGAAUUUGGCCUGCUUUACAAUUGAAGGAGUUAAAUUAGCAGCAUGUUAAAUUUCUUCCAUCUGUCUCCUUUGUGCUCAUCAGAGGUUCCAGUUUACAAGUUAAUAUGCAUUAGUUUUAGAAAAUAUUGGCCAAGUACAAAGAAGUAUAUCCCUUCCCUAGGAACCUCUGGCUUUCCAAGAAAUAAAUGUUUUCUGUUUGUUUGCAGUUGCAAGCUUUCAUCAAAUAGGAGAUGCAAAGAAAUGAACUUACUGCUGCUUUUGUCAAUGAUGAACUGGUAUUCUUUCUGGUAUGUUCUUGAGUACCAGCUGCCAUCUUCUGUACAUGAAGAUUUACUUGAAUUGCUGGUAUAAUUCAUUUUAUGGUAUUUCAGGCUUCUGCUUUCAUUACCUUCCCUAUACUGGGUUCUUGGAUGCUGCUUUUAACAUAGUUCAGCUAGGUGAAGAAAUCUUCUUUUAGGGGGUAGUGUCUUACCCUGAAAUAGUAGGUGACAUCCAAGCUGUUGCACUUUGUUUUCUCUGAUCUCUUUUACAGAUUGGUUUUUGAUAUUAAAAGGUGAAAGAAGAGUUAGACACAUUACUGCGUACAGCACCGGGUCAUUUUGUUGCCAAUGAGUCAAUUUUACAUGGAAGUAUUCCAGGGUCCAGAUCAAUACAGUAUGAUAUUCAUUGACCCAAAUGUUGAUUUUUGAGGCUUAAGAUAUUUGCAUCUAUUUGUAGCCUAAUCAAAAUUGGAGUCGAUCAUUGAAUUGAUUGUGUACAAAGAUACGCAGACAUUUACACACUGGGAGCGUUUCACGUCCAUGACAAUUUUAGUCAUUUUCUUUAAAAAAAAAUGUUGGGAUUUGAAUUUUAAAUCUUUUUUUCUUAAAAAGUUGGUUUCGGUAACGCCGUUGAUGAAACUAAAGAACAGCCGUGGCAUCCAUGAGUGAAGAUUAACUAUUAAACAAAAACAAAUGAGGAAAGUGGUGAGGAGGAAUCCCAGAUUUUUGUUAAAAGAAAAAGGAAAACGUGAAUUCAUUCAUGAUUCAUCAUCUCUCUGUAGUCGGUCAUCAUGAAAUCAACGUAAAGAAAGGCAAAUGGCAGGCGAUAUGGCAAUUCCUUGAUGAAGGUAUUUCAAGCCUUGCAAAAAAACAAAAACUUCCUUUGUUUCUUUUUCUUUUUUUUGUCUCCUUCCGAAGUCACAAGGCUAAUCCAUAAUUGAGACUGAAAAAAGCAAAAAUGGAAGAGUCGACAUGGGAGCAAAAGCUCCAGGCUCUAACCCACAUCCUAACAAGCCCCACAACCUCACCGCCUCUCCACUCUCAACUCUUCAUCUCCACACAAAUACCAUGUUUCCUCAACUGGGAUUUCCCUCCAAUUCUCUGCAAUAAACCCAACUCCCAUACCUUCCCUUCUCUCCACCUGAAAUGGGGAAUCUCUCUUUUCCUCAGAAGGGUCUCAAGAUUGGGUGUCCCCGAAACUUCCUGGAGGUCCAAGUGCCCUUACUAUCAGCCCCCACCACUGAUUCUGGCCAAGGGAGUGGAUGAAGCACAAUGGGUCGAUGCGCAAAAGCGAGAGUAUGUUAGGAAGAGGCUGAGAAGGAAACGCCUAGAAAGCCAUGUCCACCCUUUAAUUCCGAUUUUGAUUCCCGAUUUAUUAUUGUUCUCCCUGCUCUGGUUCAAUCCAUUUCCUCUUAAUGAUUCCUGACAAUUUUCCUUGUCUCAGAAUUGUAUAAUAAUAAGUACAUAACUCUUAUGUCUUAUCACUUCUCUUGUCAACGUUGGAUCAUUUUAUUUACUUUGGUCGAUUUCGGAUUUCUUUCUCGGUAGCACUGUUGUUUGCCUUAUCAAAAUCUCUACUCUCAGAAAUUUUUCUUUCUUUUAUAGAAGAUGAUGAUGAUGAUGAUGAUGAUGAAAAGGGGCUUAAAUUGAGGCCCCAAGUAAAUUAAUUAGAAGCUACAACAUCAUAAAGCAAAAUCAGUAAUAAAGAGUUCUGAUUCACUUUGCUUAAUAUAGAAUUUACCUUUGCCAGUUAAGCCCGCCUGUAAUUUUGGUUAACGUCUAAACAUGCAUUUAUUUAUUUAUUUACAACUUACCUCAUUAAUUUUCUCCCCAUGUAUAACCCACCAAACUCCAACUGCACUACCUGAAACUCUUUAUUCGGUUUAGUUAAAUCUGGCCUCCACUUUACCACAACAUAGUGGGGCUGGCCAUCGCCUCCACUUUAUUCAAUACAUUCAGCUUCUAGAAUUCCAAAAACAAUACAUCAUGAUUUGUUUAUUAUGUUACUUUAAUUUUUUUUCCCCUUUUCGUCUAGUCUUGUUUUAUAUUAGCAGUGUUGAUCGUUGAUAAAGGUUGAAGUUUCGGAUUUUAAUGUUUGAGUUUAAGUUCUACCAUCUAUAAUUGCAAUACGGGUCUCUCUUACCUUGUGUAUAUGCGGUGUGUUUUAUCUAAUUAUUUUUAGAUUUUACUAUGUUUUUGUUCAGUUCUUCAUCUAUUAUGAAUUGCAUCAGUUGAAUUUUACGUUAUAAUUUAUUGAACAUAUAUUUAUUUUUGUCUUCUAAUUGUACAAUUUUUAUACCAGUGAAUUUUUUUAAAAAAAAUCAUGUGAUUAUGGAAUAUACGACAUAUAUUUAUGAAAUUUUAAGAAAAGAAAAAAAGAAAUGUUAAGUAUACACCAUUUUCAGUCACAUUAGAAUCCUGUUAAUACAUUAUUUCUACGGCUUCUACAUCACUAAACUGAUGAUCACAUUGGAUACUACCUUUUCUUUUCUUUUUGACUUAAUAGUAUUAAUGGUUUUCGAGUUUGGCAAACAUUUUUUUUCAAAAUUGGGUAGGAUUCGAUGGCCAGAUUGAUACAAUCUUUGUACGGCCGAAACGCUUCCCUACCGUUAAUCAAGCAACCAAACUUCACUUAAUCCAAGGAAAAGAAGAAAAGCAAAAAGUAAAAGCCAAAAGAAAAAUUAUUCAAUUGAUUGGUCAAACACUAACGUUGACAAUAAAGCUUCUUUUUUUUUUUAACUCUCUACCAUUGAUCUUUUAUUCCACCCCUUCCUUACAGCUUUUUGUUGUUGUUGUUUUCUAAAACAGAACCUCAUAAUAUCAGACAUAUUGGGACUCUGAAAAUUCAACCUUCAGGGAGAAAAAAUCCUUCUUGUUUCCAUUAUGUUUAUUUUGUUAUAGAUGGAGGCAUCGGUGCUUGAGUUGUGAAUGCAUAAGCAUGAACCAUAAAGUUCAAUCAAGAUAUGAGGAGAAUCUUCUUUUUCCUUUAUCUUUGCUUUUCUGUUUUUCCUUUGUUGAUGGCGCCAAACGUAGUCUUAAAGUAUAUUAGAUACAUCUGGUGACCAACAUUCAAUUAUAAUAAAGAGUAUAGAUAGAUACAUCAAUACUAUCCAGCCCUCUUUCAUGAUGAUGUUGCAAGUUUUGCACUCCACCCCCAUAUUAUUAUGAAGAGGAGAAAUUCCUGUUAGUUGAGCUUUAUUUUCUAAGAAAUGACUUCUAACAUUAAUAAAUUUGAAUCAUGAUAUAUUUAUAGCUAUUUCUCUUACUCUCUCGUAUUAUAGCUUUCUUUAUAUGCUAAAACAGGAGAUGAGUAGGAAGAAACAAUUUUUGUUAAAAGACGUGAAGUUGUCUUAAGAUUGACAAGGCAGUUAGAUGCAUUUAAAUUGGUAUUUAAGGAUAUGUCUGUAUAUAACUAGAACUAAUUAAGAUUACAAUACACUGCAAAAUGAUUCCACCUUUUUUUUUGGGGGGUUCUCUCUUUUAUAUGAUCAAAUACAAUGUUGAUAUGAACAAGGUUUUGCAGUUGUAGAAAAUCGUGGAGGACUUUUUUUUUUACAAAAAAGAAAGAUAAAAUUCAUAAAAAAUGUGAAGUUAAGCAUAUUUAGCGACGGGUGGGGUAUGGGGUGGUUUGCUAACAUGGAAUGCGCAUGGCAGAUUGGCACUUUAAAGAAGGGAUGGGGCCGAGGGGGCGGGAGUUGUUAAAUCCUCGGGGUAGAAAAAGGUAAGUAAGCGUGUCCCUGGCAUUAGACAAGGAGUAGAGGGGGCAGCACAUGCACAGCAUAACUAUAUCUCUUUAUUUUAUGUCCCACUCCACUCCCCCUCAUCUCUGCCGCAACAUUAAAUACCAUAUGCAUCCUUACUAUUCAUAAUGGUUUUUUGUUGGGUUGAUGUUACAAAAUUACAAUUUUACUAUAGAUGUAUUUAUAAUAUUUAAGAUUUUUUUAAGUAGGAGUUUAAUCUUUGGUGGUGAUGUUGAUUUUAGAUAUAUUCCCCACCCGCAAGUAGAUAUCAUACAUUCUAAUAUAAUUAAAAAUGGUAUAAUUAAAAUAUUUUUAAUAUUUUUAAUAUUAUUUUUAUAUUUUUGAAUUUUUAAAUUUUAAAAAAUUAAUUAAAUGUUGGUGCGUCAUCUACAUGUAUGCAACGGCGAAGCUUAAAAAAUAUUAAUUUUUUUCAUUCGUGAUUUGACAAAAAAAAGUAAGUUUAAAGGCUAAAAAAGCAUAAAUUUAAAUAAAUAGCUAAAAUAAUUUUUUUACAAAGUUAGAGAGCCAAAUAAAUUAUUAUUUUAUUUAAAAAUAUUUUUUUAAUAAAUUAUUAAUUUAGUCACAUAAUCUAAUAUAAUUUAAUUCAAACCCGUUGGUUCCAUCAACAAAUUGAUCUGCAUGAGACUUAAGGGUUAGAAUUUGGUGCGUAACUCUUUUUCCUCCUAAUUUUUACUUUUAAAAAGAAAUUGCAAUACAAUUUUUUUAUUAUAGAAUUCUCCAAUUUUUAUUUAUUUAUUUGAUCAGGAAGCUUUAUUGACACUGCUUUUAUUUUUCCAUCAAUCCAAUUUAAGAGACAAUUCACUUUUUAUAAUUAACAAAAAACAAAAAGAAAAUAAAAGAAAUUACUUUUUCCUUUUUCGUGUUCGAUACAAGAUAGAUGAAAUAUGGAAAAUAAAAUGCAAUGAAAAUAUAUUAUUAGUGAUAUAUCACCUCCAUUAUGUAGGGGAAAGAAAUAAAAAUAAUAUUAAUUUAUGAUACUUUCAUAAUGUGGUUAAAAAUAAUUAUCUAGUAUUUUUUUGUAAAAAAAAAGGAAAGUUGAUAUCUAUGCUACUAAUGAAGUUUCUUAGUGAGUUUGUUACUAAUCAUAUUCGAAUUUUAAAAAUUGUGAAUUUUUAAAAAAUAAGUUAUUUAUAUAACUAGUAAUAUACUAUUUUGACUCUUUUUUUAUCCGAGUUAAUGUUAGUUAUCUCGUGAUACCAAUUCAAUAAAACACUUUAUUUAUAUUAAAUUAAUAUAGGUGAGAAGUAAAAUUAUUUAACAAAUAUAUUCUUAAAAAUACUAAAGGAGGUUUUGGUUGAAUAGCAAAAUAUAAAUAUUACAAAUUAUAAAGAUGUAGGUUCAAUAUUUUUACUAUUUUUCUAUAUAAAAUGAUAACCUUAUAAAAGUAGUUUGUGGUUGAUGGACUAAUUUUUUAAAAAGAAUUAAUAUUAGUAAAGAUAUAUAUGGUACUAAACAUAAGGAAAUAGGGGAAAACGUAUCAUAUUUGUAGUGGGAGAAUGGGAUCAUUACAAGGAAAAAUGAAAUAUAUAUCAUUAACAACAAACAUAAAAGAAAGCGUCUUUUGAUAAAGUUGUUAUUGGUGUAAUGUGAAGGGACCACAAUCAUCACCAUUCACCACUUGCUCCUAAUUGAGUUGAAAUCUUUUUACAACAUAGAAAACUAGAACAUCUCCCUUUCUUGCUUCCUAUAUAUAGAUUUUGUAUCAUCGCAAUUCCACAUCACACACGCAAGCAAAGCAAAGCAUUAGCAACCAUAGCCAUGGCUUCCUCACCAAAACUCUUCUCUAUGUCUAUCCUCUUCCUUUUUGCCCUCUUCUCCAUGCAAAUCCAUGCUAGAGAGUACUUCAGCAAAUUCCCAAGAGUUAACACCAAUGAGAAAGAGACAACAACCAGAGAGCAAGAGCACGAGACCUUCGUUCCCCAGACCACCCAAAAGCCAGAAGAGCAAGAGCCAAGGUUCAUCCCUGAAACCCAAAAUGGUUAUGGCCUUUACGGCCACGAGUCAGGCUCAGGCUCAAGCCGGCCCAGUUUCACCACCAAAGAAACCUAUGAACCCUAUGUCACCCCUGUUAGAUUCCACCCUGAUGAACCCUAUAACAGCAUCCCCGAAUCCUCCAACAAUAAAGACACUUACUACUACAACAAGAAUGCCUACAAGUCCACUAAGCAGCAAAACUUGGGCGAGGCCAUUUUCACCGAGAAAGGAUGGAGCACCAAGGAAAACCAGAACAACAACUACUACAACGGCAACAUUAAUGGCGAGAAGCAAGGCAUGAGCGAUACUAGGUACUUGGAGAAUGGAAAGUACUACUAUGACGUCAAGAGUGAGAACAGCUAUUAUCCAAACCAGCUCGACAACUCAAGAGGAGUUGCUUCCAGGAACGAGUUCGAUGAGAAUCGUUACAACAACAUGGGAAGGUACCACCAGAACCAAGAGGAGUUCGAGGAAAGCGAGGAAGAGUUCGAACCCUGAUCACCUGUCGUACAGUAUUUCUACAUUUGAUGUGUGAUUUGUGAAGAACAUCAAACAAAACAAGCACUGGCUUUAAUAUGAUGAUAAGUAUUAUGGUAAUUAAUUAAUUGGCAAAAACAACAAUGAAGCUAAAAUUUUAUUUAUUGAGCCUUGCGGUUACUUUCUUGUGAUGAUCUUUUUUAUUUUCUAAUUAUAUAUAGUUUCCUUCGCUUUGAAAUGCUAAAGGUUUGAGAGAGUUAUGUUCUUUUUCUCUUCCUCUUUCUUUUUUAACUUUAUCAAACAAUUUUUGAAUAAAAAUGUGAGUAUAUUGUAACACUAGUUGUCUAUAUUCCCCUACCGAAAAAAUCUACUUAAAAGAGCAGUAAAAAACGCAAAGAGAAAAUGAAAAUCAAAUACAACAAUUCUUUAGCUUUCUAUACAUGAACAUUAAUGAUGUUCCAUGCAUACAAGGACAAUAAUCAUGACAGCCUCAUUAAACUAUUUCGAAAUGAUUGGAUCUUUUCAUGAUCUUGUUUUGUAGUCGAUGAUCCCCCUUCACCAAACCAUGCACGCGUAUAUAAAAGAACCUAAUUAAUUAAAAAGUUAAAUUUGAACAAGUUAGGGAGGUCUUGUUGGUGAAAACAUAGAGCCGAUAGGAUUGGAACAAUGAUUAUAUAUGGCGUCUCGUAUGCAUCUAGCUCAUAGAUCAUAUGCAUAAAAACGAGUUUUCAACAGUCAUAACCCCAACAAAAGUGUGUAGCUUGCUAGUUGUGUGCCACUUCCAUGUGAUGAUAUAAAUGGCCACCUUCUUCAUCACUAUCUUUGCAAGUGAUAGCAUCAUGUUUUGAGGUCAACAGUUGAUCGCACUUCUGAAGAUAAAUUUUUCUCUAACAAUGAAUUUUUUUCGUAACUUUUAAUUAAUUUUUUUCGAUGGAAUUAAUCAACAUAGUUUUAAUUAGUUCAAAUAAAUCUGUUGGCUAAAUAAUAAAUUCAAUCGUACCAAGUUAUAGUUUAGGUUGAGAGUAUAGUUUAUUUCUUAACCAUAUCAGGUUCGGAGUACUAUUUAUUAGUACAUUAAUUAAGAAAGGUAAUCCUAGUCGAUCAAGUUAAUGGUCAAGAGUUAAGUAUGCUAGUUGGUAAACAAGCAGCAACGUAAAAUAAGUAGGACCACCUUAGCCAUUAAAGUAAAAGCAGGUAAUCAAUUUUAAAUAUAUAAUCAAAAAAAUAAUAAUAAAAGAGAGAGAGGAAAAUGAUGAAUUUCAAUUGGAUUAUCCGUGAAUGACGGAUAGACUGUGGUUUGUCUCUUCUUCUUUUUCAACUUUAUUUGUGUUCUCAAGCUUUAGCCUUUAGAGACCCUCCUUCUUUUUGACUUGUAUAUACACAUAUGAACUCAAUGAAUCCAAAGACUUAUCUUGUAGGUGUAUAUCAUCUGUUAUGUCAGUGUAGAAUGUUUAUAAUAUUAUAGAUAACUGUUAGGGUUAGUUGGAGACCGGCAAACCCAACUAAAUGGGACCGGAGAGGGUGCUCUCCCAGCAUAAUGUGUGGGUACUGAGUACAGUGUCUUUAUUUAUAUGGAACCCCAUUUCAACAAAGGGAAGAAUUUAUUGACCCCCAAAAAUAGGAGCAAAAUAAUUGUGGGAGUACUCAUGAUGCUGGGUAUUGAAUGGUUCUUAUUUUUAAAAAAAUAAUAGCAGUACCGUAACUUUAACAAAUAGAUAGAUAAUUACAUUCAUCAAUUCAGGAUAGUUCGUGAUCAACUCUGAACAAUGCAUCUCUUACUCUCCAAAACUGCCUCUAAUCUUUUCAACCCGAAACAUUUUUCGAGUGUUGACAUGCAAAUAUUGUAACUAAGUUCCAUUGGAGAAAGAUAAAGAACAAUGGCCCAAAUGGCCCCAGGACCUACUAGGAUCAGUACCCAUCUUUCUUGGGCCUUCAAACAUUUUAUUUAUAAAAAGCUUUUUAAAUGUUGAUAGACAGUUCACCAUAGGGUAUAUGUCUUUUUUUAGUUGGUGUGAUGACGAACAUUUAUGAAUUUUUGUUUAUGUGGUAUUAUUUGAUAAAUUGAAAAAUUAAAGUUAAAAUUAAAAAAUAUUCUAUAUUUAGAAUAAUUUUAAAACUUCAAAAGAUAAUGCAACCAAUAACAAAAUAUGAAAAAAGAAAAUUUCAAAUUCAGGUCUUUGUCGAGUUUCUACUUUUUACUAUUUUCUUGAUCUUUCAUUGGGGACAAAAAUCAUAAAAGCUAAUUAAUUUGCAAAUCACUGUUGAUUUUCUUUUUUUUCUUAAUCACCAAAAUGAAAUUCAGAAAUUGCGCAGAAUUUAUCUAAUUUUCUUUUAGGAUACUGUAUUUCAAAAAUAAAUUAUUGAAUGUUUGCUAAAGUGAUAAAGUAGGUCAUUAUCUAACACAUUGAAAAUUCCCAAUAGCUUUAUUAUGUAUAUUUUUAAUGUAAAACUUCCUAGUUUAAUUUUAAAAUGUAGUUCUAUAUGAACUUCCAGAUUUAUGCUUAGUUUUAUUUUAUUUGUAUGUUUUUAUUAUACAUUUUCAGAAAGGCCUAACCAAACUGAAUUGUUCCACUUCUUUUAUUGUUCUUUUCCCGAAUAGUCUGGGAGGAUUAAGAAUUUUGAGCUAUUUAAAUAUUUAAUUAAAAUUUUAAAAAAUUUCCAGAAACUUGAUGAAAAUGCAGAAAAAAAUUUGAGAGCUAUUGACAAAAAGAAAUUCCAACAUCUUCUAAGGAGCCCCACGUGUCCUUUUCUCCAUGCGGGCGGAUCAACCAUAGGCGGAGUUCAAAUCUUUUAUAUACGUUUCAACAUGUAAAACGCCUUUCAAUUUCCCAUGCGAUUUGUUUAUGGCACCUCCUCCAUUAACCCCAAUCUUGUCAAACUAAACACACAGACUGCAAAAACAAACAAAACCAGUGGAGUUUUAUUUCAUUUCAGAAUCCCACCUUCAAUCUUUUUGGUUUGGUACUAUUAAUGUCCGAAAAUUUUGAGCUGGAAUCAUUAACGUGAAAGUUAAUGAUUCUAACAACCCUGAAAUUGAUUGAUUUCAACUUUUUAACUCCAAAUUACUCUGGGCUUUUAAGUUUGUUUGCUGAAAACAAUGUUACAAAUGAACUUUCCCCCUGAAAUAUGAACCAUUACCCUUUUUUGUAGUCUCAUAUUCCUGUCAUGAACUGCCUCUCUUUAAGUUUUCACCUGUCACCAUUGCCUGCCCAUUUACUUCUAAAUUAAACACCCCUGAACUUAAAUUUAAAGGAAAUUAAUCAAUCAAUGUGAUACUUUAAAAAAAUUGGGUAACAAGUAAAGAACCCUUUCUUUUCUUUGUUAUUUAAUGGUGUUGGUUCCUUUCAGAAUGCAGUUGUUCUAAUUCGAGGGGAAGUAAAUGCAGGUUUAAGUGAAGUAUGAACCGUACAAAAUUCAUCAAUUUCUGUAAAUUUGUAUAACCCCCCCCCCCCCCAAAAAAAAUGUUGAACAGAGUAAGUUGCAUCAAAUAGAAAAUGAGUAAGAGUUAUGAAUAGACAAGCCAACAAGAAUCCCAUUUUCUUUUGUUUUCUAGCUUGUUUAGAUAGUAUGAUUACUCCAUUUGUGUGAACCUAAUGAAAUAUUGAAACAAACCCAUUUCUUUUCUCUUGAAACGAAAGAAACUUAAAUGUAAUAUAUGAAUAGGAGGCUAACAGCAUUGAUUCUCUUGCUGUCUACAAAGAUUUCGAUUACUCGUUUUGUUUGAGUAAUCAUUUAGCAGAAAACAGAGUUGAGUAUCACCUCCUCCAUUUCCCUAUAUAUGAGGUGUCCCGUUUCUUUAAUGCAUGGGAGGAAAAACUGUUAGCCAAAUACCAUUCAUGAUAAGACAUAUCAUAUUAAGAAAUAAUUACAUAAUUAUUCAUGAUAAGACAUACCUUUGCUGGUCCAUAGAUUAAAAAGAAAAUGAGAUUUUUGAAAUAUGGCGGUAAGUUGAUGGUUAAAGUGUUGUUGUUCAAUGUCUAAACGGGUGUGAUUAUGUGACCAAAUUAAGAUAAUGAAAUAGAAAAUUGGUUAUAUUAAUCAACUCUCUCUUGUGAUUUGCAAAGCUGAAACUCCUCUCCCCUGGGACCCAUAUCAUCAAUUGCUCCUUGUUUAAGGAAGAAUCUCUCAGAUGAGCCAAUCCAAGACAGGCGCUCUUAUUGACCACCUCUUGUACUUUUAACACUAGCUGCAAUUUUGUGUUCCGCUUGCGAUAUUUUGUGAUCCUCAUCUUCAUUCAUUCACUUGCCAUUUUCGUUUCAUUUGUUUCUUGCCGUUGGAGCUGUCAACCCAUGGCUGCUGAGGUAAAUAGUUCUUCUUCUUAUUGGUUGUUUUCUGUUGAUCAUGAAUGUGAACUUUUUUUUUCGUGAAUUUAUGUUUUGAUUUUCUGGUAACCAAGAAUCGGUUUCUGGGUUUUAGUUCCUUUAUGUUCUUGGUUUCUUGCUCAUAUAUUUGGUGGUUGGGAAUAGUAACUGAAAGAUUUUGGCCCCUGGUUAUGCUGAAUGUCACCGCUGUCGCGGUAAUAGUAACUUGCUGUUUACUAAUGAUAGAAUAAUCUAAAUUUGAAAGCUUUUCAUAAUUCAUACUAUUUUCUUUGGAAACAUAAAGGUGUUAUCAUGGCCUUUUCCUCUUCCUGAUUCACGGGUUUCUAGAGAGAACCUAAUUAAGGUAUGCUUAAAUUUAUGGUGUUUUAAGUGGAAUUACAACCAGGACUUUAUCUCAGUGCUUUCUCUGGUUAGCACUUACUGAUCUGUGCCGACUGUCUUCUCUGGUUACCACUUACUGUGUCGUUGGUUGGUCGCAGCUUAGAUUUUAAUCCAUGCUUUUGAUGUUCUAGCAGCACCAAAUGUAGUCAAAACAGAAAGAAUCUCCGGACCCUGUGUUUAUUACUUAUCUAGUUUGAAGUUAAAUUUGUUAGUAUUUGAUGCAAGAGAAAAGGGGUGAUGAAUGUUCAUUUGAUAUUAACUAGCAUGUUUGAUUACAAAGGAAGGUCCUUAAGUAACAUUGAUGCCUCUGUUUCAUCAGAAUGGGCUCUUUGGCUUGUGUUUGGAGGGUGAAACUGACAUUUAUGAUUUAUGUGAUAAGGAAUUUGACACUAAAAUGUCAUAAAAAACUUUUUGAGUUUGCCAUCCCCCACAUGGCUUUAGCCAAACUUCCUUUGUUCAAUCUCUUUCAGUUUUUUGAGAAGGAUUAUCAUUGAACAUUUGAAUGCUAAAUUUUGAAUCGAUUACCUUUUCCCCAGAAUCAUGAAACGUCCAAUGGUUGGCCACUUGGACUACAGAUAAUGAAUAUAAGGCUUGGGUUACAACAAAGGUUACAGGCUGCGGCUCCAGCUGUGGAACUAUACUUUUUGCACAUUCCCUCUAGCAGUUUUUCCUCAUUCUCCUCUUCCAACCUUGACACCGAGGUAACCAACCUUUUCUUCCCCCAUUUGCUGGCUCAACAUUCAAGCCUUGCAACAAAUAUAUAUAUACAUAUUUAUUUACCAAUACAUGCUAUUUCUUGCAUUGCUACCAGUCCUCAGCAUCAUUUUUCCAAGAUAACAGCGUAUCCCUGGGGAAGCUAAUUGGAUAUGGACCAGGUGAAAGAGAAUCGUUGUAUUUACAGAACUCAAUCCAUACGGAUCAGAGCUGUAGGCUACCUGUAAGAGGUGCCUGCAACUGCAAGGAUAAAGGACGCAGUGCAGAUGCGUCUCAGUCUCAGGGGAUUUGUAUUCCUCUCCUACUAGGAGCUCUACUAAAGAUUACUGGAAACAAGAUCAAGUCAAAGCGAUUGGAAUGAAUCCAUUCCUCUUCUACCAAAUUCUUUUCUCCUGUGUUUCAUAAGUUAGUCAUUAAUACUGCCGUCAACCGUCCAACAGCACUAUCGAAUUAACAUAGGAGUUUGAGAAACUGGAAACUCGAAUGUUAUUUUCAUUUUAAGAUGAUCAAGUUCGACAUUGAUUUCAGGCAAAUGAUUCAAAAACAAAAGGCUAGUUAUGUUCUUGCUUAGCACAAAUGUUUGCGUUUUGACUUUUGUUCCAGAAAGCAAUGGCUUCCUCAAAUCACCACACAAUCCAAGUAAAACCAGAAUGCCAAAGGUUCAAAUGAAUACCAUUAAGCUCGACAUCACUUGGAAGCAAAUAUUUGAAGAACAAACGAGAUUCAAUAAAGCAUUUAAACCAACGACCAACUCGAUUUAGAAAGAUCUUACUAUCAACACUUAAAUUUCCAGACGCAAUUUGUUCACUAGAAAGCAGUCUUGUACAUAUUCCACUAGUACUUAAUCUAGACCAUUAGAUGUUAAAAAGUAUGAUGCAGAAGACCAACCAUCAGCAAGAUUUGUAUACCAAACCCAACACGUUCACAAUGAAAAUUGUACCAUAAUAGCAUCUCGCCAACAUUAUGAAGGGUAAACCAGAAUCAUCAGGUCAAUCCAUAAGAACUCUUUCGGUAUCCAGCAGCUUAGGUCUCAGCAAUCUCGUCAUUUUCAAGCACACUAACCAACUCAUACUCGACAAGCGAUAGAUUGUUAUCCUCUUUAACAACAAAGUUGGCAGGGUCAGUGACCUCGAUGCGGCCCCAUUUGUCGACAGCCAGCCUCAUAGAACCCUUAAACAUAUCGAUCUUCGCAUUACGAAGAAUUACAGUGUCAUCGGGCUUCAUCAAGUCAACUGCAAAAUGAUUCAAGCAUCAUCAUGGAGUUUAAGACUGAGCAGUUUAAAUGUAUAACCUCUGUAAAAGUGAAAACCAAAAACCAAAGCAAAAUACGAGUUCACAAUUUUUGCAAUUGUGAGAACGCGACAAUUUCACAGAUAGGCCACCAAGUUUUACUAUGAUUAAUAAAUUAAGGAUUUGAACGCCAAUUAAAUCCAAUGUUUGGUUCUUGAUUAAUUUACCAUAUCUCUUCGAGAGUUUCUUAAAAAGUUUCAUAUUGAGAAAUAGAAUAAAAAACAUUAACACCAUGGCAAAUCAACGAUUAAUCAAGAAACUCAAUUCGUGUAACAUCGCAAUACUAAAUAAACCUUAAUUAACAGCUAGAUCCUAGAUCAUAUCAAAUCCACACUAGCACCAACAAAACAACGAACAAAAAAUAAAAGCUUCUGAAUGCCACUGUGUUUCAUAUAAACAAGCCAAAAAAAAAAAAGAACGGAAAGAUCAUAGCUUUUGGAAUUAAGGAUGAAAUAAAACGUACCCUUUUGAGAAAAAUUAAGAUCCGAUCGGUAGAGCAUAAAACUUUUUUUAAGAAACAGAAAAAAAAAAAAAGAAGGGUUAGAAAAUUGGACCUUGCUCAUUACGAGCAGUGAAGAGGACAGUGCCGGUCUCGUCUCCGACAAGGCACUCAGCGAUGCGGGUUUGGCGGAGAUUUCGAGAAGCGGCUCGACCCUUUUGAAGGACCAUGUUAGAGGACAAUACCUUGGCGACUAAGGUGUGGCCUUUUGUCCCUGGUUUUAGCUGAUCUACUUUCACAAACACCGGCUUUCUCUUCUCCGUCGUUUUAUUUUGUUGUUGUUGCUGCUGCUGCUGUUGUCCUUGUCGUUUUGGCUGCCCUGUCGUCGCCAUUGUUUCAAAUUGACAAAACCUCUUCUCUUCUCUGCUUUUCUUACUUCUUUCAGAGCUUGUGGGAGAAAGAGAAAUGGGGUAGCCCUAGAAGUAGAACAGAAAUUGAAGCAUUCCUACUUUUCUCUCGAUGGGAAAGUAAACGAUGGCGUUUUAGCUACUUUAAAAAGAUUGACUUUGAAGCCAUUUUUCUUUCUAUGGAUUUGUCUUAAUAUUUAUUUCUAAACUACAACUAAUGAAAAUGACUCUACAAAUCCUUUGUUACAUGAUUGAUGAAAAUAAUCAAUUAUGGUAUUUUCCAUCAAUAAUUAAACGUCAUUGUUUCUACGAAUAACUGCAACUUUUUCAUUCUUGAAAUAUGGAAGUGGGUAUGGCAUGAAUUAUGAAACACUCCAACACCCAAUACUCCUCUGAAUAAUAAUCAACAAUCAUUAUUUUAUUACAUAAUUAUCAGUUAUCUGUCGCUUUAAGAUCAAAGUCCAAUUAUAAGCAUUUAGAGGGUGCUCUGCUCCUGUACCAAGAAAAACACUGCAUUCAUAUUCAUUUGUCGAAUGAAUGGCCUUGGGCCAAUUGAUAUAUCUAUCCAUUAUUCAAGGUAAUAAUUCAAAUAAAUGGUGUACAGUAUAUGAUAACAUUUACUUACAGAGCGAUACAAAUAAUGCGAAAUUUCUCACAUCAACAUCAGACUUUCUUCUGAAAUAACUGUUAGCAAUGAAUACUUAGCUUUGAUCGAAAUUCUGCCACCUUCUACACAGAGUUUGGCUCCGGUUACCACCCAAUAUCCAGGUGUAUCCUGAGGUCCUCUAACUAUCUCCUUUGUGUCCACAAAGUUUGUCAUUUUGGGUGCUUUGGUUGGUGAAGGUGGACCACCUGGAAAAACUGCUGAAUUUAAGUCCACUUUGGUCGGCUUCUCAUUUGGAUUCAGUCCUGAACUGAACCUCGUGCUGAUCAACAUUGAGAACAUUCCAGAUUUCCGUGACAAUGUUGAGGGUCCAUCCCAUUCUGGUCUACGUAGCCUGGCAGAGGCCACCAUGGAGAACCCAAGCCUCAGGAACAGAACUUUCCUCAUCCCAACAACCUUUACCUUGAACCAAGCUUUGGUCACGAUAGGAGCAGUACAUUCAAAGUGGGCUCCGUUGUAGUGUACAGGGGCAGUGCAUACAUGCGAGAAUAUGCUCCACUUGACAGGUUCCAAAUACCCACGUUCGGGCUCAACGAUCGACUCAUAGCUGUGGUCAUCUGAGAGCGGGAGGAUUGUAGGGAGAGUUGAGAGAUGCUGAAGAUGGAUUGCUAGAUGGUCACUCUUCUUACCCUCCAAGUAUAGGCGUAUUCCUGUCACCGGUCGUUUUCCAGUAUCAACCUGCAAUUACGGAUUUGGAACUCGAGAAUCGGUGAAAUAAGAAUAGUAAUCACAUGCAUGAUUUAUGCAGAUUGUUUUUGCAAUUAUAACCAUUUUAAUCCGUGGCAAUCAUCCUGCAACAUCAUUAUUUUGGUUCUAACAAAAUUAUUUGACCCCAUUUUAGUGUUACAUUGGUAAAAAAGGGAAACCAGUCGAUUGUAUUAUGAGCUCAAAAAGCAAGCACUUUAUCAGCAUGCUCAGAAGCUUAGAUGACAUUAAAUAAAACGACAAGUCAAUCAACAAUCCAAUAUCAACACUGCAUCUACAAUGGUAAAAAUGUUAAGCAUGGCUAAGCAAGCAGUCCACCAAGGGGUUCAUGUAGAGUUGAUGAGGAAUUCGGGUAGAUGCAUUUAUAAAUUUUCAGACACAAUCAUUCCAAGUAUCAACUAUCACGGAACUUCACUUAAGCAGCAAACAAUCAUAAAUAACUACUAAAAUGUCAAAAGAAAUGGCGCAAGUAAAACUGUGUGCUGCGAAAUGAUACCCGUGCAGUAUUAACAUAAAGCUUAGGCCCCAUAAAAGUGAACUGAAGUGAUGGGGAUGAUUGUUUUCUGUGCUUGAGACCAAGAGGCAGAUCACUGUAUACGGGAGCCCAUUGUCGAGGUAUUUGAAAUUCGAGAAAUACAUGGAGUUCCUCUAUCGGUGGUUUAUCUGCAUGAUAUUAACAAUCAUUAGAAGCCAAAAUCAGAGCACACAUAAGCACCAUAUUAACAAAGAAGGAUGCAGUUAUAUGAUUUGCGAAAACAAUGAUCUUCCAUAUACACCAACAUUCACUCAAAAUGAAACAACUAGGAAAUCACUGUCCGCAAAAACUUUGAAUUUAAUGUACCUUAUAAUUUAUUAUAGAUCUUCAAGGAGCAUAAACAAUCCCAUUUUUUACAAGAGUAGUACAAUGUGCCAAAGUAUGAAUAAAUUGUAAUUCAAAAUAAAAAUAUUGCAUUUGUGAAGUAUUAAUAUGUAAAUGAACUAAUUAAACCCCAGCUAACAGGGAAAAAUCCAGUUUACAGAAAUUGCCCUUAUGUAAUCUAGUGCCAUCUAGACAUUUAGCCUCGGAAAAAACCAAACUAACGGUAUAACAAGUAUGCAAACUCACAUCGUAGGUACAAGUUCACUGCAUGGCUUAAAAAUCCAUUUCCCCGUGCACAGCUCAGUAGAGAAGUAAUAGGCACAAGGGAUAUUGAUAUGACAUUUGGUGACUGCGAUAUUGUUGACAGCCACUGGCUAUGACUUUGACCGAAAUCAAUGCCUCCCCUACGAAUAUAGAUAUUCAUAAUGUCCUGCAACAAAAACAAAAAUCAAAUGGAGUCGUCACCUCUACUAAAAGCGGGGUGCAGGUGUAAUUCCUAAACAACAGUUAAAAUAAAAACCAUCAAACUUACAUUAUUCUUUGAGCAAGUGACAACAGGUGGCCUCAUUGAUCCAGCGAGCACCCCUUGAUGAAGUUGCCCGGGAAUAUAAUGUUCUCCCUAAAGCAAUCGAUGGAAACAAAUUAGUGAGAAAAAAUUAUUUCCAAAGCCUUGCCAACAGUGUUCUUCCAUGAACUAAUAUGUAGAAGGGGUCAAGUAAUAAUUAGUUUGAAUUGUAAUCCUUCUAUCUCCUAUAUGGCAUUAUCGUUACCUUGAUUACUUAUUGCCAAGGAAAUUUUACAGUGCAUACUGAACAUUCCCCCCGCAAUUAUCUAAAAACUGUAAUUUUGCCUACCUACCCUAGAAUGCAAAAGUGAAUAGAAUAAUAGGCAUGCACAAUUCAUUCAGAUUUUUAAGAUUAAAUGCACCUUUGGUUUUUCCGAGAAUGGAGAAGUUCCUAUAUUUUCUGAAAAUCUCUCAUCAGCUAAUUGCUUUAAAGUUUUCUGCACUUCAUUGGGCUGAAGAUUUGAAUUUUGUAAUUGUUUUACAUGUAUAACAUCUUUACCUCCCAUUUUAACCCCAACAACAACGUGAGUACCAUAUUUUUCAAUGAACCUGGGAAAAACCAUGAUCAGCACGGGUUUAGUACAAAUUAUCAAUACUACUAACACACACGGUUAACGUCAAUGGGAGCACUAAAUUUAUAAGUGCAAUUGCUUUGCACAUGUUAUAAUCAGAUUCAUCAAAAACAAAGUAAUCAUAAUUCUUUCCCGGGGAAGUUUUUUACUCCAAAAGGUUACGUAUAUGACGAACUUACUCAGCAAUGGCAGCAGGGUCCCAUGUAGUAGGCACCUCUUGUUUCACACGCUCGGACAAAGUUAUGUUUGUUCUUUCCAACUCAACAUUGUACAGUGUUAAGAACCAACCAUCAUAGGCAAGACCUUUUGCGGCACAGGCAUCCUUCUGCCAGCAGCCUUUGAACUCGAACAUGGCAUUGAAUAGGCCGGAAGGAAUCUUGCCGGAUAAUGAUAGAUCCCGAUUGAACUUCUCUGACAUCUAGCAUAAAAUGACCCCCAAUUUAAUUUCAAACAAAUCAAGCCAAGUCUGAAGAAAAAAGAAAAAACUCUCCGGGGCUUUCUUUUUCUUCCUGAUUUUCUAUUUUCUAAUCUUGAAGGAUAGGGAUGCCAUUUUGUUAUUUCUUUGUGGACAAGUUUAGUUGCAAAACAACUUCCAAAGAACAAAGAUAUGCAAGAACCAGCAAAAAGAGCAUAAGCAAGAAAAGAUAAUCAUAGGAGCUCUCUUGAAUACUCUGGAACUUUACAUUAUAAAUAAUACAAAUUGUGGACUCUAAAUAUUGAAGCAUAUUCAAAUUUGCGAAAAUUUUUCCCUCAAAUAGAAAACAAAGCACAAACCAAAAUUAGCAAACAAAAAGCAAAACUUCCCUAUAAUUCUAAUAUUAUUAGUACUAGUAACUCUCUCUUUUUCAUUUAUUUAAACAGUACUAAACCAGCAAAAUAAACACAAAUAUACCAAAGGAAAAGGUCAAAAACUUACCUGGCUAAAAGAAAGAACAUCAGAACGAAACCUGGUACGCUCGCCUUUAUCGUAUUUAAUCGAAUUGGGGACAUCUUUUACAACAACUCCAUCAGGAAAAACCAGGUCCCGAGUCGCUGCUGAGUCAAGUUCGAUCAAUCUGGAGCCGGAAGGGCCAGGCAGGCAGGCGGAUAGCCUGACAUCCCUGCACAAGUCGAAUCCGAAACCGAUAACUGAAACGGCCUUUUCAGCCGCCGAUUGCGGGUCCAUUUGAUAAAGAUUCCCGGGCAUGGAUUCCUAAUGAGACGGUAGCUGGAGUUGCGUGUGGGUUUUAGUGAAACUGGGUAUGUAUUAUGGGGUUUUACCCACUGCUGAGGAAGGAGAUGGCCCAUUGAAAUGGUCUUCGGUCCGAGUUAUUUUAUCGAUUUUUAAUUUUUAUUUUAAAAAAAAUUUGCCUGUUUCGGGGGGGAAACAGAGAUAUGAAGGUGACGUUCGAAACUAUGACGUUUGACUUGAGAGUUCAGACAGACAGAAGCUAAUGUAAACAAGGGAAGUUUACCAGUCGGCUGGCGUGGAAACUAACUGAAACUGCAUACUUGUUCCAGAUGGAAACGUGUUUGGUAAAGUUUGGCUUUUUGAAUGUUCAAAAGAAACUAUAAAUUGAUUAAAAAGAAAAAGAUUGAAAAGUCAUUAAUAAAGAAAUCAAAUGCAAGGAGCAAAUUUCUUUCGGUACCCUAAGUUACGUAUAGACUUGACUUUGGGGAUGGUUCCGAUGGCGCUUUCAGGAAGUUCAAACGAACUUUUGUCGAGAAUAAUCAAAGAUGAGCGUUUUUAACACUCCCAAUUUUCAACUUGUGGAAUAGUUAAUCUAUGAUGGGAUCCAUCUGAGAAAUUUUCACCCCCCUCGAAACUUGGAACGAGGCAGUCCCUUUCCUUACUAGCUAGUCCCAAUAAAUCAAUAUUAUCUAACAUAAGCUAUAACUAAAAUCCACCCCCCCCCCCCAAAAAAAAUCAACACGCUUGUUAAUAUAUUGGACUGAAGUAUUAAAGCCUGCCUAAUCUAUUAUAAUCCAAUGAUUUGUAGUAGCUUUAAACUUAUGAUGGGAUUGAAUGCAGGAUGCUUUAGAUUCUAUUGAUACAAACCUACAUAUUAUUUGAUUACAUGUAUCGAUUUAACAUCAAGAUUUAAUUCAUUAUCCUUGGUAAUUAGUUUUUUCUUUUUUGAAUUAUAAAAAGAAGAUAAUGUCUUAAUAAUAAAAUAAUUAGUGUAACUCGAACCCAAGUCAUAUCUAAGAGGUGUAUAUCCUGAUGAUCAGGUCAACACAAAGGGUUCGAUAAUUGAUAUUAUCAGCAUCCUCAAUAUUUAUUGGUAUAUUUUAUUUAUCAAGAGAGUUAUCUUGUAAUUAUAUGAGAGGAAUAUCAAUGAUUAAUUAAUCACAAUAAAUUCACUGAUAAAUUUUAUCAAUAUUUGGAUGUACAUUGAAAAUAGUUUAUGUGAAUUUAAGAAUAAUUAUAAUAGUGAGAUUAAUUACUUUAGCAAGAUGUUAAAUAACGUAGUAGUAAUAUUAAAAUUAAUAGUUAUAUAUAUAUAAAUAUUUGGAUUCAAAUGCAAGGAUGAGAUAAUAAUAAUAAUAAUUUUUUAAUUUUUUGUCAACAUAUUAUAAAUAUGUCGUUAUAAAUAAAAUUUUCAAUAAAAUAAAAUAUAUUAAUCCCAUAUAAAAAAAAAUGUAUGUAUUCAUUUCCUAAAAUGUGUCCAAUUGAACCAAAAUCAAAAUUUCGCAUAUACAUAUGAACCACAAUUCAAGUUUCAUGUGUUUAAUUGCACCAUAUAAAAGUUCAAGUAUCAAAUUGCACAUUAGACCAAAAUUUAUGUAUAAGUUUAAUAUUUAUCUAUUUAUUUUAAUAUUUUUUUACAUUAUUCUAAGUAAAUAAAUAAGUAUUUAUAAAUGUUCGCAUUGAUAUUUAACAAAUAAAAUUUCAAUAACUUCGUUUUAUGUACGUUUAUAUAAAUAUUUUAGUUAUUUAUUUAUUUUAGAUUGUUGCAGACUUGCAAUAGAAAAUAUCCAAGGUUAAAAAAAGAAAAACAUAUAAUUUAAAAGUCCAAUAUUUUUGUCACUAAAGAAAUUAAAAAACUCACUGUCUCCCAUCGGAGACUUGAGCUCCACUGAAAAAUAUGAGAUGAGUUUGCUCAAUCACAGCUCACUAAUAUUAUUCAAACACCAUACGAUGGUUGAUUUGUAAAUUUUUUGUCUUGAAAAUUAAGACAGCUUCAGUUGUAUCCAAAUGGAGCUUGACUGUGUCAUCCCAAGAGCUUUUGGUUUUCUUUUUGUCUUCUUUAAGAGUGGUUCUUUCCUUUUCCGUCGCCAAGUCUUAAAAGUAAUCAAAGAGUUGGAGUUUUACUCGCUUGCAUGGCCAAUACGGUGCUUGACUUCAUUGAUGCUACUUCAAAGUAUGACAUGCAAUAACAUAAAAAUAUUUGUUCUUGGUUUUCCGAAUUAAGAACAAGCCAGAUAGUGUGUAUACUUAAAAGAAGUUAAGAUUCGAGUAUUUAAUUAUCCUAUAUAGAAAGCCUUUUUCCAGUGCUCAGCAGAUGUAACCAUAUAUGGUUUCUACUCUAAGCGUGCUCUCUCUCUUUUGUCUGCUCUACUUAUAGUCUAUCAUCUGCAAGAUAAAAAAAAAAUUUAUCCAUAUAUCCAUAGUAAACGUGUCUUUCUGGGGGGUUUAGAGAGUUUGGCAACAACAGUUGGCCUUAUGUAAUCUUGAAUUUUUCCUUAUAUGUAUAUGUUCAAUUUCUCAAUUUCUUCCGCUAUUUUUACUUGUUCGAUCCCAAUUUCAUUUUAUUCAACCUUGACCGUCAAAAAAGUUGAUGCAUUCAGCAAAUAACAGCUUUGUUCGCCAAAAACGUCGCUGCGAUUAGUAUUAGCAGAUUCAGACUUUGAUCAAAUUAGCUUUUCAGUGCCCAAGUACUGAAGUCUCUCACACGUUUCUGAUAAAACAGUAAGAACUCCAUUGCUAGCUGUGUUGAGCCUUGGAUUCCAUCGGGUAGUGUUUCGACACAAUUGUCAUGCAAGUGCAAAGCAAAUAAAACUAAUUCAAAUCAAAUACUAAUGGCCAACCAGGUGGAAGUACCAAAUCAAUAAAGUAUAUAAUAUUCGCUUAAAUAAAAUUAUCCAAUAUUUGAUAAAGAAGCAUCCUCAUGCAGACAACAAUAGACCUGUGAAAAACUCUUCCUGCACCGACAUGAAAAAAAAUCGGGGGGAUAACUCGAAAAACAUUAAUGAUUGUUUCAGCCGCUCAAGUGCUAUACUAUUGCACUCUUUCCUGCAAAAGAAAUUAAACUUCAAGGUCAUAUCAUAGAAAUCCGAAGGAUCAACCCAUGCCAAGAUGUGAGAUGAAAGAUCAGCCACCGAGCUAAUUAUAUAACUUUGAAAAUGUUAGAAGCCUCUUGUGAUCAGAUGAAUUAAUUAUUAGCUUCCUUAGUUGUUCUUGAUUCCGAGAAGCUUCAUGGCAACCUCCCAGGUGACGAUUGCAGCUGCAUUAGCAGGAAAAGCUCUCAGUAUAGUAGGACCCAGGCCUGUGUAGCAUCCUCUAAGUCCAGACAUCCGAUAUAUCUACAAGGCAAGGAAACAAUUAGAAUAUCCUCUGUUCCUUUCAAUAUUAUUUUGAUUGUUACAAAACCUCCACCAUGCUGCUAUCCAUCUUAUUGUGCUAGAAAAGGCACAUUCAGAUCAUCUUACCGAAUUUAAAACUUGAAACGGAUUUGUCAGAGAGCUUUUAUCUGGAGCGGUCUGGAUAAUGGUUUUUGCCACAUCCAAAGGUAACACAGUUGACCAGAACUAAGAAAAAACAAAUAAAGAAUAAAACUAGAUAUAAAUAGACCAUAUCAUAACUCAAAAUUGAAAAAUCAAUAUGCAAGGAUGUCAGAAUGCUUACAGCUACACCACCCAGACCACCACUCAGAAUUCCAAUUCCCAUAUCAACCAAAUUGUUAUGGUCAGAUGAACCAGAUUUUAGCUGUAAAUGCAUAUAAUAGCGGACAUAUUCAUACACACUAAAAAAUACUGCAUUUCCAAUAGAUUCCCUUAAAAAUGUUGUAGAGCCACCACGAAAGGCGCCUGUAACCUGUAACCUGUAACCUGAAAGGUGUUCCAUUAGUUUAAAUCACGUACAAAUUAAGUUGCCAAAAGGCAGAGUAUUUCUCACCCCAUCACUUUUUAUGGUUUUUAGUGCGCAAUCAAGAGAACUACUGUAGCCACUGCACUUUGGAACCAAAGAGUCAGUACCUUGAAUUUGCAUCCUACACUGGAGAAGCCCAAUGUCAAAAGCAUGCUUUGGGAGAAACAAACAGUGAUCUGCUAUCAAUUAUCAUAGAGCAAGUACUAGCGGGGCAUAGAAACUAAUUCUUACCUUCACUAGCUCUGAUGGACAUAGAACAAAACUGAUAAUAGCUCCAGCGAAAGCAGCAGAAGGAAUUAUUACUUGGGGCUGGGGCCUGCUACUCUGAACUCCUCCCUUAAUUGGCACAAAAAAUCUUUUUAAAAAAUAAUUUAAAACAUUACAAUGUGUUGGAAACAUGCCUAUGAUAUUAUUAAAACAACUAGUUCCCAAUCUAGUUUCUGCAAUAGGAGUUUCAUGGAUGGGUAUAUCACCUCCAAUUCCCUGUAAUACGAACCUGCAGUGACUGUUUUGUUUGCGAAUAAAUGCCAAAAAGAAGUGAACUUUCAAAAGCCAUCCCAACAAAAGAUGGCGUUGCCCCUAUAUAAAGUCCUCUAACCUGCCAAAGCUAAUCAUGAGUUCUCCAAAAAAGAAAAAAUUCAAAUAUGUUAAGAGUAAGGGAGAGAGUAACAACCAUGUAUAACAUAUACAACCAAAAAAGUGAACCAAUGAUUUAUAUUCCACAGACAACCUUGUACAUGCUGAAGUAUCCUCUCAACUUACGUAGUAGACCAAAAUCUUGGUUCUAGAAUUGCAGCUAUAGAUAUUGAGAAUUUGUAAGAAUCUUUCUUUAUUCUUUCUUUUCCCUUUUGGACAUAUACAAAUUGCAAAUUCUCUCUAUCUUCACAGAUUCAUGGAUAACUUCAAUUACUUUUUCCAAUAUUGACAUUUACAUUUUUAGAUUUUAGGACAUUAGCAGACAAGAUCCAUUGUAGGAAUAAACACAUAACAAGCUUGUCUGUGCAAAAUGUUGAAGUCUGAGAUAGCAGAACAUUUAGCUCAUUAUAUCCUACUGAUUCAUUUUGCAUUUGAACAGAAAGAAUCCCUAUAAACAAAAUCAAUAGGUCUUUGAGUUCAAGAAUGACCAAAAGUCAUAAACAAAUAACAUGAUCUCUUUCCACCGCAUGUAUUUAUCUAGAUGCCAGUGGUCUAAACUCUCAGCAAAGGUAGCAUUUGGUAUGAUGGAAAGUAGUCACUUUCCUAGGAAUUUAAUAAGUUGGAAAAUGAUUCCAACGUUUGGUAUGUUAGAUUUUAUUUACUUUUCUUGGAAUCUAACUUUCCCUUAAGAAUUACUUUCCCGUAAAUAUGGCAAUACGAUUCCCAUGAUAAAAAGGUGGGAAAAUUACUUUCCCAUUCCCAUGUAGAUUGAAAAGUUGAAAAAAUAUUAAGACAAAUUAACCCUAUUUUAUAUUGGAAAAACUAUUGUCUUCUUCCUUUGUCCUACUACUUGAUUUUCUCUAUUACUUCCACCAGAUUCUUCCUACAAUUUUAAUCAAUACCUUCCAAUAUAUUAACUUCCUCAGUAAUCACAUUCCCAGCCAUCAUAUUCCAUCGAAUCACAUUCCAUAGGAAUCAUAUCAUGGAAAAGCACCAAACACUACCAAAGAGCAAAUUUACGAACAGGGUUCUUGAUGGUGAAAAGAAAAGAACAAGGAUUAAGGAGCAUACCCCUUCAGUUGCGAAUAUCCUAGCAGUGCAAUGGAAGCCAUUCCUAUAUGUAAUCCCCUGCACAUUAGUAUUGUGUUUCUGCAACUUAACCUGACCAAACAACCGUAGAUACAAAAGAAGCUUUACUAAUUGUUACGUUGUCAACAAAACCAGGAAGCAAUAAAUAGAACUUAUCUUAAAGGAAACUAAUCAACAUUUACAUGUUCCCAAAGAGGAAAUUUUCCGAUUUUUAAAUUCGAUGAUUGAACCCACAUUCCUAGCAACACUAACAACCUAGUUAAAUUGGUAAUUGUUACAACUUAACAAACAUAAUCCUUCAAAAAUUUCCGAACCCAUAUCUAAAAAAAAAGGCUUUAUUUUCCAAAUUUUUUAGGAUGAGAAAUGAAAACGAUAAGAAAGAAGUUAUACCUUGACAGUGUCGAAGGGGUGACCGACGACGACAGUCGCAACACCGGCGAACAAGCCCGCGACGUACUCUUUGUAACUGUAAGGUUUGCGACUGUCUUCCAUGACCAUGUUUUGGUAAAUGUCUAAAGCCUUUUUUUAGUUUGACAGUAAAAAGAACAUCGGAGAUUCGGUCCACUCCGCGCCAGAUCCUAUAGAGCGAUUGUGCGAGGGAGAGCUACAGCGAAAUCCUCGUCAAAAUCUCGAGUAUCAAUAAUCUAGAACUAAAUUACUACUAUAUGUUCUAUCUUUUUAUUAUUAUUAUUUUAAAUAUAUAUUUCAAUUUUUUUUAAAAAUCAGUUGAUAAUUCAUUAUGUUUUGUUUUUUAUUCUUUUUAUUAUUUGUAAUCAAAUUUCAUGUAAAAUAUGAUAAAAAUUUUAAACAUAAUUUAAAGUAAAAAUAUGAAAAUAAAAAUACAUGAAAUGAUAUUUUAAUCAUCCAAAUAAAUUUUGAAAUAUUGAUUUUCUUACAUGAAAUAUUAACUUGUUAAUUGAAGUUGUAAACACUAAUAAGGAAGACUGUAAAAGGAAUUUAAGCAUUUUGUGACAACCAACUUUUCAAAGUCAUCAUUCAAUGAUGGAACCGAGGUCGGAAGAG